AAACAAAACAAAAGUAAAAGGUGGCGAUGCGCCUAGAUUGUAUUGAACGUGCGUUAAUUGAUUACAUGGGGCUCGGGGUCUAUUUAUACCUGAGAUUACAAAAUAUGUCUAUGUUGGACACGACUCUUAUCUCUAACAAACUCUAAGAUACCAUAAGUCUUUGCGGCAGACUUUUGCCCAAACUUAUCUCUUAGGAAAUUACAUAGAAUAUCCUAAUUAAUAGAUACAAUUGUCGUUUCAGGACCGAAUCCGUGUGUGGCAAUCCAUAUGAAGCACAUUAACUCAGCCCGAUGACGUAUACCGAGUCACAUUGUCUGAUUCGGCUGAAUCGGCUACCUUGUCCGACUCGAACUCUGCCGACUUUGGUCGUAGCCGAUUUGGACUUCAGCCGAAUCUUGCUCUUUUUCUGGAACGAUCUACCUCUUUGAUUCCGCUUCGGUUUUAUUUUCAUCUCCGAUACUGAAAUUACCAAAUUUGGUCGCUAACAUCAUCUGCACCAGCGGCAUAGAAAACCGUAGAGUAGACUUGCAGAAAUUCUUCUGGGUGUGUACUUCCAUCGUAUUUCUCUAUUGCUCCCAGUCGGAAUUUCUCGGGCCACCGUACAUCCUGGAGUUCGGGCAUGAAUGCCCUGCAUCCACCCUCUAGAGCAAAAGGUAGCCCGCGAUGCUGACAUCGUCGGGGAGGCUAGUCUGACAAGGAUGAUGACGAGGACGAGGGGUCGCUUGGUUGAGGAGCCUUGCUUGUCGAAUGAUGAUCUCGUCCUCGAUCUCGACCGGGAGCGGGAGACUGGUUGUCGUUAUGACCCGUAUGGUACAAGCGUGUAUCGGCUAGCAAGCAGGUUCAUUGGGAUGAACUAGGAAUCGGCCAAGCGCUUGCUCUCACAAUAGAAAAUUCGGCUAAAGAUGAACCUCUGAUGGCUUCUGCAGCUUAUUUCUGGUCCAACACUCUUAAUGCCUUCAUGUUCAAUCAAGGGCCGAUGACCCACACUCUGCUAGACAUCACCAUGAUCACUGGUUUAGAUAUCACUUCUUCGGCCAAUCCAAUGACCCUGAACUCCAAAAACCAGUUUGAGUUUAAGACAAAAACCAUAGGUGGAAAAACACAACCGAUCAUGUUUUAAAACUGCUAAGGGCGAUACAAUUUGUAUCGGCCAUCUAAAGGCGAUGUCAACUACAUCGGCAUUACAUGCAUCGGCAAACUCAGCCGAUCAUGAAUUAAUCCAAACACUUGUGUAAUAUUUCUUCAAGUAUUUACCAUUAAGUGCUCAUCCAUAAACUUCACCAUCAAGUCCUUGCAACAUGUAAGCUCCCUUGGACACAACCUUAUGAAUUUGAAACGGUCAUUCCCAAUUCGGCGACCACUUGUCGAAUUUUUUAUCUCGAGUUCCUAUCAGCAAAGUUAACUUCCAAACAAGCUCCCCUUCAGAAAAAGAUUUAGGCACCACUUUCUUGUUAUAAUGCCGAGCAACCCUUUCCUUAUCCCUGGUAACCUUUGCAAGAGCUCUCAAUCUUGAUUGAACCAAGUCCUCCUUUUCAUCAGCCAUGAGGUUAUAAUAUUCAUCAGCUGUCAAUUCAUUCUGUAACUCCGUCCUUCUCGAGCUGAUUCUAAUUUCCCAAGGUAAAACUGCCUCAUGUCCAUAAACGAGCUUAUAAGGAGGAACUUGAAUUGAUCCAUGACAAGUCAUCCGAUAAGACCAUAAUGCUUCAGCCAGUCGUGUAUGCCAUUACCGAGGAUAAUCAGAAAUCUUUCUUUUAACCAACUUGAUCAAACUCUUGUUAGACGCCUCGGCUUGCCCAUUAGCUUGUGCAUAAUAUGGAGAAGAAUUCAACAACUUGAUACCCAUGCUAUCAGCAAACUGAACAAACUAUUCGGAUACAAAGAUUGAUCCCUAGUCAGUUGUAAUAGUUUGGUGAAUACCAAAUCGGUAGAUUAUGUGCUCUUUGACAAAUUGUACAGCAUCUCCUGAAUCAACCUUCUUCAAGGGAAUAGCUUCUACCCACUUGGUGAACUAAUCAGUUACAACCAAUAUAAACUUAUGCCCCUUGCUGGAGGGUGGAUUAAUUUGGCCGAUCAUAUCCAUACCCCAUCCUCUGAAUGGCCAUGGCUUGAUAAUAGGAUUCAUAGCCGACGUUGGUGCUCUUUGAAUUGCUCCAAAUUUCUGACAAUCUUGACAUCCCUUGUAGUAUCUAAAACAAUCUUCCAACAUUGUCGAUCAAAAAUACCCUGCACGCCGAAGCAACCACUUCAUCUUGUGAGCUGAUUGAUGAGUACCACAAAUCCCUUCAUUUACCUCGCCUAUCGCAACCUUGGCUUGAUCGGUACUCAAACACUUAAGCAGCACCCCAUCAACCGUUCGAUGAUAUAACUCAUCAUCCAACAAGGUAUAUUUCAAAGCUUUAUAGCGCAAUUUCCGAGAAACCACUUGAGAUGGAUUCUGCAAAUAUUGAUACACAUCAUACCUCCAAUCAUCGGCUGAUAUUGUGGCGACUUCUACUUUGACAUCCUUCACCAUUGGCUUGAACCCUGAUGCCCCCUGAGCCAAAUCAUUAGCUUCAACAUUCUGCUCCCGAGACAUAUGCUUUAAAGUUACCAGCCGAAAUCCAUCCAUCUACUCUCGGCACUUCUCAUUGUAGACCAUCAAUGUAUCAUUCUUACAUUCAUAUUCUCCUGCUAAUUGACUGAUCACCAACAAAGAAUCACCCAUAAUUUUGAUAGCAUCGGCUUCAGCUUCCUUAAGCAAUUGCAACCCCUUGAGAACUGCUUCAUACUCAGCCUGAUUGUUAGUUGCAUAUGGCUUAAUAGUAUAGGCAAACUUGAAACUUGCCCCCUGAGGGGAAAUGAUAACCAAGCCGAUACCACAACCAUGAGUGCACACUGAUCCAUCAAAAAAUAAAGUCUAAGGCACAAUGUCAACUGAGCCGAUUGAGUCAUCACGAUGAUCUACAAUAAAAUCGGCUAUAGCUUGUCCCCUUAAUCGCCUUCGGUGACUCAUACCGAAAAUCAAAUUCCGUUAAAGCAAAUAUCCACUUUCCAACCCUUCCUUUCAAAAUUGGAGCCAACAGCAUGUACUUAACCACAUCGGCUUUACAUACCACAGUGCAUUCAUUGGAUAAUAGAUAAUGCCUUAAUUUUGUACAGGAGAAAUAUAAAUACAAACAUAACUUCUCCACGGGAGAAUACCUCGUUUCUGCGUCCAAGAGCCUUCGGCUUAAAUAAAAUAUAGCCCUCUCCUUCCCUUUGAGCUCCUGAAUCAAAACCGAGCCGAUUGACUUCUCACCAGCCGACAAAUAUAACUUGAACGGUGCCCCCUUUUGUGGAGAUAUCAAAACUGGCGGGGAACUAAGAUAUUUCUUGAUAUUAUCCAAAGCCUUCUGUUGCUCUGCCCCCCAAGUGAACUUUUGAUCGGCUUUCAAUCUCAACAAAGGUGUAAAAGGCUCUAAUCUUCCAGAUAAAUUAGAGAUAAACCUUCUAAUGAAAUUUAUCUUGCCGAUCAACUCCUGCAACUUCUUCUUGUCCUCCGGAGGUUAAAUCUUCUGAAUUGCAUUAACACUCCUUUGAGUUACCUCAAUCCCCCUCCCAUGAACAAGAAAUCCCAAGAACUGUCCAGCUGAUACACCAAAAGCACAUUUUGUUGGGUUCAUCUUCAAGCCAUACUUCCUAGUUCUCUCAAAAACCUUCCUCAAAUCGGUUAUGUGAUUUUCUAUUUCCUUUGACUUGACAACCACAUCAUCAAUAUAAACCUCAACCAACCAGCCGAUCAGAUCAUGGAAUAUGUAAUUCAUGGCCCGCUGAUAUGUAGCCCCAGCACUCUUCAAGCUGAAAGUCAUCACAACCCACUCAAACAAGCCGAUUGCACCAAGACACCUGAAAGCUGUCUUAUGAAUAUCUUCUUCUGCCAUAAAGAUUUGAUUGUAACCUGCAUUGCCAUCCAUAAAACUUAAUAUCUUAUGCCCUGAAGCAGCAUCAACCAACUGAUCAGCAAUCGGCAUUGGGUACUCAUCCUUUAGGGUAGCCUUGUUUAAAUCCCGAAAAUCAAUGCACACCCUGACUUUGCCAAUUUUCUUGAUAACUGGAACUAUAUUAGAAACCCAUUCGGCAUACCAGCAUGGACGUAUGAAGCCAGCAUCAUAUAAUCGUGCAACCUCAGCCUUGACAGCAUCGAGCAUAUCGGCUUUACAUCUCUUUGGUGGCUGCUGAUAUGGUCUAACCCCUGGUUUGAUAGGAAGCCGAUGUUCGACAAUCGAUCGGCUGAGUCCUGGCAUCUCAAAAUAUUCCCAAGCGAAGCAAUCUCUGUACUCCUUUAAAAGCUCUAUCAACUUGGUUCUGAAUUCUGGAGAUAAAUUCUUACUAAUGAAUGUCGGCCUUGGUCUAUCUCCUGGACCAAUGUCAAUUUCCUCCAAAUCAUCAGCUGACAUGAAACCCUCUCCUUGCUUGUCAUCGAGAUCAUCUACUGUGUCCUUGGUGUAGACGUUUGAACCCUCCAAGACGCCCUCAACAUAAUAAUUUGGGCUCUCCAUCUUCAAUUAGCUGUAUAUCACAAUCGGACACUUUUAGAAAAUCUCCAUCCCAAACUUUUCCAGACAGGCAAUCAAUACCAUCCAUCUCCCAAAGAGCUAAAUUGGCACUAGCAACGUUAACUGACAUGUCGGCUGGCACGAUCUCAACCUUGUCACCUUGCCAUUGAAUCAAGCACUGGUGCAUGGUCGAAGGAAUACAACAAUUUGUGUGAAUCCAAUCCCUUCCAAGCAACAGGCUAUAGGAACCCUUCCCAUCGAUGACAAAAAAAUGUUGUAGGAACAGUUUUACUCGACUGUCAGCUCCACAUUCAAAACUCCUUUAGUCUCUGACGAAUUGCCACCAAAAUCCUUGAGAACCAUGUUAGUCUUGGUAAGAUUAUCUGGAUUUCUGCCCAACUUUCUGAAUGUAGCAUAUGGCAUCAAAUUCACAGCAGCUCCUCCAUCAACCAUCAUCUUGGACAUCGGCUUCCCAUUAACAAAUCCAUUGAUAUACAAUGGCUUGAGAUGCCGAUUUUCUGUCCCUUCUGGCUUCUCAAAAAUCGCUUGUUCUGGUGACAAAACCAAUCUAGCAGAAACUUCUUCAACGUCAUCAACAUCGGCUUGCCUAGCUUCAAAUUCUGCAGGUAGCAUAAAAAUCAUAUUCACCGAUGCAGAUGCAGUAGCCUUACCCUUAAGCAAUCUUCUCGCCUUGUUAGCUUCAACUUCAUCGGCUGUUGUAACCGUGCUCUUAACACGCCACUCCUGCUUGGUCUUUGUUUUCCUCAGCUGAUGAUUAAUCUCUUGUUGCACCUCCUGGAAGCGUUCUCUAUUCCUCAACCUUUGAACCCUUCUCUUUUGAUUCUUUGUGAAAAUACCAGAAGGACACCACUGAGUCUUCCUAUCCUCAUCGUCAUCCUGGUAGCAAUCUUGAUUAACCGGGCCCAACCUCUGAUGAACAGACACCCUUUUAUGACCUAGCCGAUUACCUCUAUUGUUGGAUCGGCUUGAACUUCCUGUAUUAUCACUGCACCCAGGGCAAUCUUCAAUUGAUGGUAGCCUCAUGCCUUUGUUCCAACAGAAUCUGAAAAACUCACAGUCCCAAUGAGGAUCAAAUCCACCAUCAUCUUCUUCACAAUACCUCUCCUGCUGCUUGUCAUACUUUCUUUGAUACUUGUUGAUAAUUCUAGCUGAAUUCAUCUGAAAACAUUGAUUCUUCCCCCCAUCGGCUGUCCUCCCAGAAGUAUGUACCAUGUUAAUAGGGAAAGGAUUACCAUCAACCUUCAUCGGCUUCUUUGAGUCAUCAAAUUUGACCUUUCCCCCUUCAAUGGCCGCCUGGAUUUGCUGCCUGAAAACCUUGCAAUCAUUAGUAGAAUGAGAACCAGAAUUAUGCCACUUGCAAUAUUUUCUCUUUCCUAGUUCCUCAGCCGAUGGAAUUAUAUGACCAGCAGGAAGUUGAAUCUAUUUCUCCCGAAGCAACAAAUCAAAAAUCUUGUCAGCCUUGGUAAUAUCAAAGUCAAACCUUUCCUCUUUUCCAGAACUCCUCACCCAUUGGCAUGGUAUGACUUUCUUGCUCCUGACCCAUUCGGCUGCUGAUACUUCGGAAUCAUCAUCCUCUUCAGAAUCAUAUAUAUAGGGAUAUACAUGAUUGAUCUUCUUGAAAUUCUUCUUAGCUUCAGCAAAUCGUUGCUCAUGAAAAGUUACCUUCUGUGCAAGAUGUGAUAGACUCUCGAAAUCCUGGGAUGAAAAUUUCUCCUUAAUCGGUGCUAUCAAACCCUGAAAAGCCAGAUCGGCUAGCUGAGAAUUAGUCAAAGACAAACUAUAACACCUAUUCCUCAUCUCCCUGAAUCUCUGGAUAUAAUCUUGCACAGACUCAUCAUGUCUUUGCCUUAUUGCCGUUAGAUCUAAUAACUUCAUCUCAUGUAUUCCACUGUAAAAAUAGUUGUGAAACUGUUUCUCCAAAUCGGCCCAACUAUUGACAGAGUUAUAUGGUAGAGAAGAAAACCAUGUGAACGCCGAUCCGGACAAAGAUAAAGGAAACAACCUAACUCUCAAGGUGUCAAUAGCCGAUGCUUCACCACAUUGAGCCAAAAAUCGGCUGAUAUGUUCAUAAGUUGAAACAUUAUCCUGCCCUGAAAACUUAGAGAAAUCUGGGACCUUGUAUCGGCUAGGCAAUGGAACCCUUUCAAACCACUCAGGGUAAGGAUGACGAUAUAAGUUUCCAGUGUCCUUUGGCUUGAGUCCAAACUGCUCCCUCAUCACAUCUGCAAUCAUAUCAGCCCAAGGCCUCUGCUGAGGUACUCCUUGCACAUGCUGCUGAAUCGGCUCGAACUGAUUAAGUUGAGGAGCAAACUGGUUAAAUUGCGGCAACGUCUGCAGUUGAGGUGAUCCACCUUGCUGAUGCUGGACAUGGGGCGAUGGAGGCUGAUACUGAUAAUUCAAGUUACCUCCCUGAUAGUUCUGGAAAUUUGGCUGUAUAUUACGUACCAAAUGCUCAGGAAUAACUUGGGCUACAACCGAUUGAUCUGGCUGCACAUUAUGAACCAAGUGCUCAGGAACAACCUGGUUGACCACGUGCUGUACUUGCCGAUUAUCAGGUGUUCUCAACCUUGCUGAUGUAUGUUGCAUUCUGCUAUUGAAUCGGCUGAACCGUCUGUUGCCUCUGUGGUGUUUGUUGAAUCGGCAAUGACUGUACUGGGUCGGCUGUUGUCGGAGUUGGUAAAAACAUCGCAGCAACAUGCUCCUGAGUCAGUCGAUUGAUAUUUUGCCCAACAUGCUGUGGCUGUUCCCUGGUCAACAAUCGAGGAUUAACCAUCUGCCUAGGUGCCGACGAUGGUGCAGCUUGUGCAGGGGUUGAAACCGGUGCCGUCGGCUGAACUGGCGGUAUAUUGGAAGCAUCCUGCUAGUUACCUGUGACCAAAGGCCUGUAGUUUGGGAAAACACCACCUGGUAGAUAAACUGGCCCCGUGGCUUGGUGCUCGGCUAUUGUACCAUUGACAACAGUCUUCACCAUAUUUGUUAAAGUAUUAACAAGUACUCCAGAUUGGUUGAUCAAAGCAUGUUGCACAGCAUAGUCAAUCUGGUCCUGGAAGUUGUUAAACUGCAAUUGUUCUUCACUGCCAUCUCCUACAACUCCAACUUCACCAUCCUUAGGGUAUGUGCCUUUAUCACCCGAAUCGUUUGUACUACCUUUAGCUGCUUGAGUGUCACCAUCUUUUGACGAACCCAUUCCAGGCAUAUCAGCUACUAGUUUCAGCUUAUACUUUUGAAUGACUUUUCCUUGUUUGGUUUCUGUUAAUGAGUUCAUGAAUUGUUGUUGCGUAUGUUUCAUCAUCAAUUCAAACUCCUUCUUUUGUUCUGGUGAAAGCUUGUCUACAGUGAUCGGAAUAAUGUUUCCUUCAUUAACCUCAGACUCACUAGUUCCUGUGGGCUUUGGAAUCUUGCUCUGAGGAGGGAUCACCGGUUUUGUUGCCAGUGACUGUGGUGCUUUCUCAGCAGAAGAUGUUGUCGAAACUCGGUCCCACCGGGCGUGCCAAAAGCGUGUUGAUAAUAAAAAUACGAGGCCUGGGAGAUCUGCUUAACUCCAGUGCAGAUCCAAAAUCUUGCCUUUUAGGUUUGUCAGCGUGCCAGUUGAUUUGAUCCUGCAAUCAACAAGAAAUAAUAGACAAAGAAACCGCGGUUAAAUCCAUAAAUGAUAGCCGAUCGGCCAGUCGCCGAUGACAUAUCAUUUAUAUUUGAGCCGAUGUCAUAUGUUAAUCGAUCGGCAGUUGUUAAUAAGUAAAUUAAAACUAAAUCUACUCGAUUGGCUAUAGAUAUUAACAGUAUAUAAUCUUUAUGUCGAUAUAUACUUAAAUCAAGUGAUUGGGAUAGAUCGGUCGCCAUGCCGAGACAAUAUAAAUCACUUAGAUCGGAAUAUAUAUUAACAAUGAGAUUAUAGACGUUUACAGCAUAGCCGAUCAGAUAGAUCUAGCGUGUACCGGCUAAUACUCCGAUACCACUCUAUAUUAAGAUAUUAAAGCAAGUAAAAUAUAUCAAACAGGAAGCUUAAUACACCUAAAUGCAAUAGGAUCUUAACAUAAAGGGUGGAUCUAGUAUGACAAUUAAGUAUAUAAAACAUAAAGCUAAAUCAGGUAAGAUCGGCUGAAACCCCGAUACUACCCUAAUCAACAACCAAGAAGCAGGCUAGAGAUUAUAGUUCUAAGCACGACUUAUGAGGUCAAACUUAACUGAUGCAGCCAUAAGUAUGAAAAGAAAGACAAUAUCUAGAAAAUCAAGCCAUUGGAAGCUUCAUAGAGUGAUAAAUAUCCUAUAUAAUCAAAGUCAAUAUCGGUAUUUAACCUAUUCGGCUGUCUUCUAGGAGUAUAUGCUAGCCGAUAGAAGGUUAAAUAAUGAUAUUGCCAGAGAUUAUAUAAGAUAUAUGAUAACUCAACAACUUACAUAAACGAGAUUAGAGUGUCAUAAAGAUGGAAGCACUAAUCUCGAGAACGCAAGCCGCCAUAACAAGUUUUACCUAUAGUUGAAGAUCGAACCCGAUGCAGCUCAACCCAAAAGCAAGAACUCAUUGAAAACAAAACGAAAGUAAAAGGUGGUGAUGCGCCGAGAUUGUAUUGAACGUGUGUUAAUUGAUUACAUGGGGCUCGGGGUCUAUUUAUACCCGAGAUUACAAAAUAUGUCUAUGUUGGACACGACUCUUAUCUCUAACAAACUCUAAGAUACCAUAAGUCUUUGCGGCAAACUUUUGCCCAAACUUAUCUCUAAGGAAAUUACAUAGAAUAUCCUAAUUAAUAGAUACAAUUGUCGUUUCAGGACCAAAUCCGUGUGUGGCAAUCCAUAUGAAGCACAUUAACUCAGCCCGAUGACGUAUACUGAGUCACAUUGUCGGAUUCAGCUGAAUCGACUACCUUGUCCGACUCGAACUCUGCCGACUUUGGUCGUAGCAGAUUUGGACUUCAGCCGAAUCUUGCUCUGUUUCCGGAACGAUCUACCUCUUGGAUUCCGCUUCGGUUUUAUUUUCAUCUCCGAUACUGAAAUUACCAAAUUUGGUCGUUAACAUCAUCUGCACCAGUGGCAUAGAGAAUCGUAGAGUAGACUUGCAGAAAUUCUUCUAGGUGUGUACUUCCAUCGUAUUUCUCUAUUGCUCCCAGUCGGAAUUUCUCGGGCCACCGUACAUCUCAGAGUUCGGGCGUGAAUGCCCUGCAUCCACCCCCUGGAGCAAAAGGUAGCCCGCGAUGCUGAUGUCAUCGGGGAAGCUGGUCUGACGAGGAUGAUGACGAGGACAAGGGGUCGCUUGGUUGAGGAGCCUAGCUUCUCGAACGAUGAUCUCGUCCUCGACCUCGACCGGGAGAAUGAGACUGGGAAUUCCGAUCUCGUCGGUUGCCGCCGUUCCGCUCCUGAUCUCGACGAUUAGCUGCUUGGUCUCGCUGGAAGUCGUUAUUGGCGUCGCCGCGGCGACCGCUGUGGGCCCGUCGGUCCCGAUCUUCAUUAGGUGCACCUCCCCGACCAUCGUCCCUUCUCUGUCGUGGAGGAGUGCGGUGACGAUGUCGUCGGGCAGCAGCGUUAUCCCCGCGGUGUGAAGGAGAGCGAUGUCGAUGGCGAUCAUUGUUGUCACGAUCUCUUCUGUCCCUCCACCGGUUGUCUAAGUGAUCGCGAAGAUCACAGUUCUCGGGACGCGGUGGAGUAGGGUCUCGUCUCUCUCGAGGUGACUGGUCACCGGAGGGACGCGUUCCGUUGGGAUUUUCUCCGUCCGCAUCUCCUGCAGUUGGCCCUUCAUCCUCAUGUUGUUCCGGGUUGACCGCUGCUUCGGCAAAUGCGGCGUUGAGGUUAGUCACGGUCUCCCACAGUCGCGUCGCCCAUUGGUUGACGUCGGGGUUUGUGACCGGAUCAAAAGGACUUUCACUCAAUAUCGCAUCCAGGUUUCGCAACUGUUGAGCGGGCAUUCUCACUGCUGCGGACGCACUUGUUUCAGUGUUGUCGACCACGUUUACAUCUCAUGGCAACUCCGAGGAGGAUUCGUAGUCUUCUAGGAGGUGUAGCACAGAUGGCUCAUUUGGAUUAGUACCAACAUAUCCUACGAACCGAUUUGAUGUCAUCACUGCAUCUCGCUCCUUGGCAACACACGGAGUUUGAACUCGCGAUUGUUGGACGCGAUGAUGCGGUGGUUUCAGAGUUCUGAGGAAAAUCCUGCAGCUUGUGAUGUCGUGAGACCUAGAUUUGUGAAUUGGGCAGUAGGUGAUUCUUGUCGGUGAAGUGCGCUGAAUCUCACGCUCCCAGCAGGCGUAGAGUUCAGCUUUCACGUGGAGUAUCACCGGGCAGUCCUCGAGAAUAUGUUUGGAUGUCUUAUGCACAGGAAACCAAGGUCUCAGCUUUAGGGUGGUAGUCAUUGUCGGCUCUGAUUUUUUGUACAAAGGACAAAAUUCGGCCGCUUGAGGAUUCCUCCCAGGUGUUGGGACCGUCGAUGUUCCGUUCUCCACUUGGGUGGGAGGAAUUGUCGGCGGGGCAUCGUUUCUCGGAGUCUUAACCGUGCCUUUCUCGUUCCCGAUAGUGAUUGGUCCAGUCGAGAUCGGUGUAACGGUAUAGACCGGAAAGACGAUAGAUCCGACUUGAGUCAAUACCAGCGAUGUCGAGGUAGAGGCUCCUUGAUCGACGCCGGUGUUGGUACUGUUGUCGGAAAGUCUUGAAGUCAUACCGGUAUAUCCUUGAGCACCAAGUCUCCCUACCUAGCGCGCCACUGUCGACGAGUGAUACUCGCGGACCGGAUAAGUAGAGUAUUGGGGUACAUUGGAAUGAGGGUCUAUGUAGUACGACAUCAAGCAGAUAAAAGACAAGGAUUAUACUGGUUCAGGCCCCUUAUCAGGUAAUAACCCUAGUCCAGUUUAUAUGAGAUUGAUGCUGACGAGAACAAAUUACAAAGAGAGUAGUCAAAACAGAUGGUACAGACGAGAUCGUAGUCGAGGGAUUCGACGAGAUCUCCCGGCGAGUUGGCUCCACGUACUCCGGCUUCGUAACUUUGGUGGGUGUGUUGGCGAUGGAAUUCGAUCCCCUGAACCUCUCUCAGGGGGUCCCUUUUAAACCAUGGAUCAUCUUGAUCCCCAAGGAAGGUUUGAGGAUAUCGGACCUGGUACGGUAUAACAGAAACUCUAUCCCUUCCGAGUAGGACUUUGGAAAUCACUUGACUCGUAGAGAUAUUUCCUAUAAUUUGAAACGGUUUCCACGCGACAUAUACGGAAACAACCCGUAUACGUGAAGGUAUACCUUAUCGGUAUAUUCCAUAAGUCAUAGGAUAUGAGGUAUGCCUUAUCCGUAACCCUGAUAGUAUUGACUCAAACUAUUUGGAUCAUUGCAGGCUACAAUAAUAUGAACUGUUUAUUUCAUAAAAGAGUGUAUACAUCAAUUUUAUCAGCAUUGGUCAGAAAAUAACCUAACUAAUUACUUUGCACCAAUCAAAAACUCAGGAUGAGAUGAAAGAGCAAUCUGCAAUAUUAUGGUAACUUCGACGUAUAAUUUGACAAAAAAAAUUAUAUUAGAGCAAUUACCCAUAAACCAUAAUAGUCUUCUGAACAUUAAAUCACAACAUGAGGUACAAAAUAGCCUGAACUGUGGUUUGCAUUCAGGAAAGACCAAUUAAUGUUAUGAAUUAGGAAAUAAAUAUACAAAUCUAUAAUGCUAACAUCAAGUAAUGUAAAUCUUAAUUGAUCAUGAUGGUAGAAAAACUGAAAAACCAUGCUCCGAAGGUUUACCUUAGUAUAAGUAGAAGGGUGAAGGUCCCUUGCAAACAGUACAAAGUGCAAAUUUGACAUCCCCUGCAACUGAAUUUUUAAGAAGAACUUCCAUCUACACUGCAGAAAGCCACAAACUCAUAUAUUUUGGAGUGCAAAAUAUCUAUAUCAUUAUCUAUUUUGAACAAAUAUUGGGCCCGUAAUAUUGCUCUUACCUUUACAAAGAAUCCUCCUGCUAGCAUGAAUGCCAUGAUUCAUGACUGUAACUGAAGGUACAGUUUUUGCCUUUUUUUUAUAUCCAAGAGGGUAGCUCCAAUUGCCAAUCCUAAAUUCCUAAUCCCUGCAUAUUACUUCCUGGGUCACAGAUUUCUAAUUUCCAGGUAAUAUAUAAAUUUAAAGAUGAACUAAACUAAUUGCCAGACAAUAUAAUAUUUGCAUAUUACCUUAGCUAUAUGAUGUAGAAGCUGAAUUAUCCUGAGAGUCGUCGUUGAAUCCGGCCUAGACGUUGGCUCAUCAACAAUGGUAGAUUAUGAAAACUACCUUUCAAGGCGAAAUAUUUCAUAUAUGAUAUGGCUCAGCGAGGAUGACACGCAAGGAGUGGGGUGUGACCCUCGUCGCGUUCCACCUCGUCGCCAACCACAGACCACCUCGCGAACAUAGAAUAUACAAUGAAAGAUUAGCACUUCAUCGAACUGCUAUUUAAAUAAAAAUUAGUGUAAAUAUUAGUUUAUAACUUAAUGCAAAGCUUAUUUAAAUGAAAAUUAUUCUGUUUUACAUACUAACCUUGCAUCACAUAUCUGUAAUGUUCUUUUUAAACUUUCAGCAUUCAUUGACCUUGGGCGCGCAAUAGCUGUGGAACUGAUCUCAGUAAUGAUGCCCAUAAUAUUUGCUUGCAUAUGAAAGUAGAAUAGAUCACAGUCUUAUAAGGCAAUGUACAAAUAGAUAAAAUGAAAAUAUUAUAGUAAUAUAUCAUACCAACAUAGAAUAUGUUUUUUAUCAACAAGAGAGGGGAUUUCAUGGAAAGGCGUCAAUGAAAAUGUUAUGGCAGGGGAAAUCAGGUGGGAUGUCAAUGCAUUCUUCUAAGGUUGUCCAUUUACUGAAUAAAUUCAUGAAGUCGUUUGAAACUGGUUUGUAAGUCUUGUUUGCAUCUUUAACAAUGAACGACUCUAUGUAUUAGACCUUCCCUUCAUGGAUGAGAGGUUUCAGAACCUCAAUUGCAACUCGGUAUAUCUGAACAUGAAUGCUAUUGCCCUACAUAUUUUUAAUAGGAUAUACUAUAUUAGUAAUAUGUUUGGUAUACUAAUGUACACAUACAAUAAGAGGCAUAUGAGUAGUGAUUUGAUAAGUACCACUUCAUCAAGUAAGACAAGGUCUGCAGGAUGUUUGUAUCAUCAUUGAUCACGAAAAUGCCAAAGUUUAGAAACCCUUGCGAGAAUCUUUUUGUCUGAAUCCCCAGGGUAAAGCUGUGAAAUGAGCAUGUGUGCAAAAAGCAUAAACAUUUUUUUUCGCCAGGAGCAUAAACAUUUCAGUAUCUAAAUGGAGUAAUGCUAUGCGAUGAAAAGCGAUGAUAAAAAGAACAUUACUUACAAUUAUAAGAGCCUUAUAUUGCAGGAAAUAUAUACUAUACAAUACUGUCUAGGUAUCUAUUUAUUAUAAAAUGUAUGUAUAAAAGCAUUGGGGGGGGGGGGGUUCUUGUUGACGAAAAACACUACGUAUCAAGCUGCGAAGCCUGCAACAACAGUAUAUUUGCAUUAUUAUAGUAGCUUUGGUAGGAAAAAAUGAAACACAGUAUGCAGCAAUGUUGAGAGCAGCACCGUUGUCAACGUAGCAGGUAGUAUCUCAGUGUAAACAACCUAUAGCCCUAGAUUAUAAUGAGGGGUAUUUUUUACCUUGCACCAUAAUCCUUUAUCUCUCUUAAAUAACUUCCUAUAUCCCUAAUUAUAUUAUGGAAUGGAGGGAAUAUUAAAAUCUGUGGAGACUGUUGGAAACAUAGAAGCUCAUUGCAUGAGACUGUCAUAUCUGUACUAUGUUCAUAAGCUUCUCGUGUGAAGUAUUUUUUACGACAAAGCUUACUUUUAGAGAAUGAUAAAAAGUUUCAUAUUUAUUUUAUAAAAGUUUACUAAGAAGAGUACAUGUAGCAUAUUUUCGUAUGCUACAUAUAACAUAUUUUCCACAUGUUAUAUAUAUUAUCUAAAAGGAAUUCUAUACAAAAUUAAUUGUUAUCUUUACCGUCUUCAGAUACAUACUAUUUUUAAUAUAUUUUAAUUUUCCCAUGCAUAAUAUUUUCUCAUAUGACAAAGUUAUAAACAUUAGUUAUAGUUGCACAACAAAUUACUAUAUUAUCAAUGGUAGAUAUUCCACACCUUCCAUGCCCACGUGUAAAUUCAACCUUCCACACCAAUUAAACGGUCACUUGACGAAAAGGAUAUAUUUGGAAGGGAAAUUUUUUUCAAAAUUCAGGGUAUGCAAGUGAGUGAAUAAAACUCGGAGCAUGGAAGUGAUAGCAUAUGAUCUUAAGGGCAUACAAUGAUUUUUCUUUAAACUGAAACUGACCACCAUUAACAUGAUUACGGUUACGAGAAGUGCUUCUAUGCUCCUCGAAAAAAAACCUGCACGAAAAUUAAAUCACAUCAAUGGCUCAGAUUAAAAGGUGAUUACUAGGAUAAACCAUCAUUAGCAAGGGGCAAUUUUGUCCUGGAAGUAAAAGCCCACAUCCAGCCCAGGCCGAUCGCUCCAUCGAUCUGGGAGGUUGACAUGGCAACAGGGCUGGGUGGUGAAGAUCACCAGAUCGGCCGGCCAUGUGCGAGGAACGGGAGGGGCGACGAGCUGUGCGGGCUGUUGUCGUUGCGCUCGGCUUUGAGACGGGUUAUAGGACGAUGAGAUAGAGGACCAGUUCUCGAAGGGUAGUGUGGAAGCGACAUACCAGAUGGAGCAUGGCCGCAUCCGCUACGGCGGCCGUCCAUGAUGACACAAACUCCCGGCGAAAUACUCGCUUCUUGUACCUAGCGAAACCUUGAUAGAAAUCCCAACGAUUCAACUGUUUUUUGAUUUAGUGGUUUUCGUCCUUUUCAAAAGCUGAACCUUUUGGCCGCUUGACAUGGGUGUUGCAGAUCUUAUCAGAAUAUCAUUCCAGGUGCAUUGCGAGGGAAUCGCCAUCGUGAAUCGAUCGAUGAGAGGCGGCUGGGUACGGGAUGGGUAUGGAUAUGAACUUUUGCUUCCUGGACGAAAUUGCCCCUCGCUAGUGAGGUUUAUCCUGUUAAUCACUUUUUAAUCCAGACCAUUGAUGUGCUUUAAUUUUUGUGCAGUUUUUUUUAUUGAGCAUAGAAGCACUUCUUGUUACGAAGAAACAUGCUUAUGUGAUCUUCAGAUGACAUGCAAUAGUUCUUAGAUUGAAGAAAUCUGAGAGAAUUCCAUGUGAGUAUCUUUGAACUGUGAUGUAUAUAUAGGAGUACAUACCUUUUGCUUGUACAUUUGAAACUUAGCCUCGGUGUUCUGCUCCUAUUUGUAUCAAGUCAUAUCCACUUCUCGUUACGAAGCAGAAACUGGUGCUCUUUUAUCAACUUGUGAGGCUGAAUAUAUCGCUACAACGGCUAGCAUGUUCCAACAGACAUUUUGACCCAAAUUAAAUCCAUUUUCUUUUGUUCUGAAAAUUGAUGUUCAGAUUGAUGCCUAACAUGCAGUGGAGAUUUCAAUUUUACUGGUAUUCUACCUGUUUAAAUCUUGCUUAUCCCAAACAGUUCCUCUACGAGAGAUUUUGAUUCACUGUUAUCUUCCGUGACAAACAAUUACAGGUGUACCUACAUAACAAGCUGUUCUGAAGCAGGUCCUGAAGCAUCUCUCUGCUGAAUUCGUGUUGUUUGCAUAUACGGAACUAAAUGAAAUUCCAGAUAUGUUUCUGCAUACUAUGCUCCACGAACUAGGAAUCCUUACCACUUCCUCUGAAUGCUUUGAUAUAUAAAAAAAACUGCAUACUUUGAUAUUCACUUGAUUGUGCAUCACACCUGACACUUUACAACAGCACAAGUGAUGAAAGUAAUGUUUUUCAGAACUGAUACACCUCAAACUCCCUCAGAAGCACUGUUUACCAACCUGAACUUUUACAUGCCAACACAAAGGAAUUCAGAGCUGGUGCAACACAAUUUUGUUCUUGGCAUCGAGCAUCGUUCAACGAUGGUGAACUGAACGUGGCACACAUCACAGGGCAUCCAAUAUGUAGGAGAAUACUUAGCAGUAACACAAAGAGAAGUGACAUGCAUAUGUAUAAAUAUAAAUCAAACACGGGGCUUUAGACACGGAAAACAACCAAAUUACACAUAAUAUACGCAGAUCCAAAGAGAGCAGUGCAAAGUUACUGAAACAUUGGCCCCAGAGAGUGAGGUUACAGAGUGCACUCAAACACCUAAAACAACAUAGCACGUCGCUGCUGCUCUUAUUGACUUCCUAGCUAACCCCAUUGUCAUGAUUAAGGGUAACAAACUGACCAUUGCCCUAUGCAAGUAAGAUGAUCAAUGUCCAUCUGCCAGUGAAUCUGAGUACAAGGGAACAUAGGGAAGAUAAUGCAGUGUGGAAACAACUCCAAGCUCACCUAUAUAAUGCACUUCCCUGCUAUCCAUUUCAUAGGAUAUCAAUAUUCCUUCAUUUGGCAAAACAAAGAAAAUGAUAUUCCGUUCCGGGUGAAUCGAGACAACUUAGUAGUCAUGUCCAAAAUCUUUUCUCCUUCUUCCAAAUAGAUGUAAAUGGCUGACAGUGUGCUUCAAGGUCCACUGAUCACUGCUGUAGUCCUGAAGAACCCAUACUGAUAAGCUGUUAUACAGAUCGUAGCGAUCGGUAUUUACGAAAUACAGUCGACCUUGAGACAGAUCUACGAACCCGUCAUCGACAUUGCAGUCAGGAUCAUCAAGAGUUUGUGGCAUUGGAAUGGUCCUCCAAGAAUUCCCCUCCACAUCCACCACUGCAACCACAUACCCCAUGGUGAUCAAAUGCAGCAUCCCGUUGAAGAACACGCUCCUCCAAUCAUCAAGCACCCCGAUUUGAUGGCCCCAACCAAUGUCCUUGUGACUCCACACUCCAGUUUCAGAUGAAUAGAUCUCCAGCGCGUUGAUAGUUGCAUCAAGUUCACCAUCAUCUGCUUCCCCAUCCGCGUUCGCGGGAUUCUUUUCCACCAACUCGAACACAUGGAAAUGGGAGGAGGAGACCGCCGGAUCGAACCCCAAGUAGGCAAUCUGUCUCUUGUCAGACCUUGCGGAUUCAGGCAGGACGACCCAUUGCCGAGUGGCGUGAUUAACCACUAGGUAAUCGAAUCUCCGCCGGUAAUCGGAAAUCCUCCAGCAGCGGCAGAGGAGGCCGUUGCAGGAAUCGAGGAGGUCGAGGGCGCGGCACCGGGGAAGGAAGUGGAGCGAGGGGUCGAGGAAGAGGGGGCGGCGUAGUGGUCGAAGAAUCCGGCGAUGGCGCCGUGGAGGUGGUAGCGAGGGAGGCGGUGGUCGGAGUCGGGGUGGGAGAUGACGCGGCGCCACCGCCAGCAGACGCACUUGAGGCCGCAGAGCGUCUUGUAGGGCACGCGCGAGAGGACCUCGACGAGGAGGUCGUCGGUGAGGUUGUCGUCCGGCGGCGGGAUCCCCUCCCUGCGCGCCUCCUUGGGGGGGGGGGGGGGGGGGGCGCAAGCGCGCGCUCAGGGAACGAGGUUGUUCAUGGGGGUGGGGCGCGUACGCGCGCGCGCGUCAGUGGGGCCCCAUGUCCCCAUCCCCGCGCGCCCCCUUUUUUUUUUCUUUUCCUGUUCGUACUUUUUUUUUCGAUUUUUUCGCCUCCGGACGCGUUUUUCCUUUUUUUUUGGCCCUUUUUUUCGAUUAUUUUUCAAUCUUUUGCACAUUUCUUUAUAAAUGUAGAAUUGAAAGUUUAUAAUUUUGACUCUUGACUUGAAAGUUUUCAAAUUUGAGAUGAAAGUUUCAAAUCUAAUGUUUUAAAUUUGUGUUGAAAGUUUCAAAUUUGAGAUAAAAAGUUAAAAGUUUUUAAAUUUUUACUUCAAAAAUUCAAAUUUAAGGCAAAAGUUUUCAAAUUUUGACUUCACGUAUAGAUUUAUUUUUAAUUUUUUAUUUAAAAAAUCUUAAAAAAAAUCUUAUCUUAAUUAUCGUCAUAUCUAACACUAAUCGGAUUAGUUAUUUUAUUGUACGCGUUUCUGGAAAAAAAUCGCAAAAAAGAAAAAAAACUCACGGUGCCCACCAAACUCACGCGCAUGUAACGAGGGCCCGCCACGUGGCACGCGCGCGACUUCUCUAAGUCGCAAAGUCGCAUGUACGCACUAAUUAGCAAAACCGAGACAUGACAGUUGCAAUGUUCUCCCAAAUCUAAACAAUUUUGCUCUAUAUUUUAUCGGUAAAUUUUCUCCCAAAAUUUAUUAAAUGUAAAUGUAGUAUAAUUAUAAUGUAAUUUUUUUAAGAAACAAUACAAACGCGGGCGACCACAAUAUGCGUGCACUCACCGCUAUGAGCACACGCACACCCUACCCUAUUAACCUAAAGUUUUCUAAUUAGCACGUAGCUAAAAAUCUGGCGCGCAAUUUUUGAUGAGGCUGUUUUUUUUUUUUUUUGCGCUAGCAAUGACGUGCGCCGGAUUAGAAGAAAAAAUCGGAUAAUCACGGUUUUAAUUAAUCUUUCAUUCCUUUUAGGAGGUUUGUUUCUUUUUUCCUUACAAAAUAAAAAUCUAUACGUGAAAUUUAAAACUUUCUAUAGAAGAAAAUUAAAUCACACCUGUAAUUUAAAACGUCCAACUCAAAAUUUUGAAUUUUCAACUCAAAUUUGAAAACUUUCAACUCAAAAUUUAAACUUUCAAGUUAAUUUUAAAAACGUUCAACUCGAAUUUGAAAACUUUCGAUCCAAAUUUUUAAAACUAUCAACUCGAAUUUUGAAAACUUUUAAGUAAAAUUGAAAACUUUCAAGUAAAAAUUUGAAAACUUCCAACUAAAAUUUGGAAACUUUCAACUCAAUUUGGAAAACUUUCAACUCAAAUUCAAAAAAACUUUCAACUUAAAAUUUGAAAACUUUCAAUUCAGAUUUGAAAACUUUCUUGGUCAAGAUUUUAAAACUUUUAAUUUGUGUGCUGGAGAUUAAAAAUUUUGGAAUAAACGAAAAGGAAAAAAAGAAAACACGUCAGGAAAAGGGAGCGCAAAAAAUGGAAAAAAAUAUCACCAAAAAACUACAAGAAAACAAGUCAAGAGAGGGGAGCACAAAAACCACGUAAAAACAUGUGGACGCGAUGGGGGCGCUAGCUAGCACGUGCCAGUCCUUUUGUUGACACGUAUGCGCGGGAUAGCAACCCCCACCCCCUUCCCCCAUAAACACCUCCGAUCCCCUUCCCCCAUAAACACCUCCGAAUGACUGGUCCGGCAUAUCUUGAGAGUUGAGAUUGAAAUAUCACCACGGGCACCUUAUUGUCGAUGGGUACGUUUCUACCGCUGAAAGAAUAAUUAGCUGUAAAUACGAGCACUCGUGUCAAAAUUAGGAUUUGAUGCAACUUACAUAUAAUUUUAAAUCGUUAAAUUUACCUUAAGAUUCAUGCAAGUUGGGAAGGAAAAAAUCAUAGCGCACACGGGUGAGGAGAUUCGGUCUUGUGCUCUCUGGUUCGCGAAAAUAGCUUGUUAAUAGGGUUUUUUUUUUGAAAGUUAUAUACAAGUUGUAUAUUUGUAUUGUAGUUAUAUGCAAGUUACAAUAUGAUUAUACUAUAUUUAUAUCUGUUAUUUUUUUAAAAAAAACAAGCUAAAUGCUCGUGCGUUGCAAGGGAAUUACAAGUAAAAUUCAAAAGGCAAAAUAUAAUUAUUCCCUCUCUAAUCAUCAUAUCACAUUUGGUAUAAUUUUGUGUAUAUAUGUUGAGCUACACAGUUGCUCAUAGUGAUGAACAAUUGAUAUAAAUUAUUCAGAGUGUUUAUAGUGAUGAACAGUCUAUCUAUCUAUUAUAUAUAUUAUUAAGGCAACUAAAAAAGAAGCCACCACGCUCAAUGUAAGGCUAGAAAUUUCCAUAUUCAUCACAGUAAAAGAAAAAAAGUUCAAGCAAAAAUACAAUUUAGAAAUUAACUAAAAUUCAGAAUUAAAAAUAAAGAAAAUUUGAAGAAAAUUUCAUAUAGGACCCAAUACGAGAUUAAUUAAAAUAAAAUAUAAAAUAAAAUUUUGAAUUAGAAAAAGAAGAGUUUAAAUAAAAAUGCAAUUAGAAAUAAAUGAAAUUCAAAAUUAAUAAGUUAUAAUGGAAGACGAGUCCAUAUAGAAACCCACUAUGAGAUUAAUUAAAAUUCAAAAUAAUUCAUUCAUAAUUGCAAUUUUCAUAAUUGCAGCACUAGUAUAGUGCAGCCUGCAGACAUUUAUGAUCAACAGUAGAGAAAAAUAAUUGGCAAUAGAUAAAACGAAACAGGUUGAUGAAAUGAUCAAUCAUUAUUCCAUCAUUAGCUACCAAAGUCAGGAUAUAUAUACAACAACUCUAGGCAUCUAGAAUAUCAAAAAUUUCCAGUAAAACCACUAUAAUCGGACACAAACAGAACAGUUUUAAUAGUUUCCAUUGUCUAGAUGACACACAUUGUUCAACGCAACAAGGAGACUUAUCAAUGAACAUCAACUUAGCCAUAGCCAUUGAGUUCCACUAACAUGAUCGAUUUCACUAGCUACCACAUGAAACAUUACAGCAAAGCUAAAAUGUACAUUUUGGAAAUAUACAGUACUGCUAAUUGGCGUCUGACAGAAAAUAAUAAUUCAUUAUAGCCGAGUAUACCCUCGACAUGUUCUACAAUUGUGAUAUCUUUCAUGUGAUUUAGCGUUCAACAGAUCAAAUAUUGGAAUUUUCCUUAACAGUCUAAUAAAAAGGUGUAGCCUUCCUUAACUAGUUCAUAUCAUUCCAACACUGAGAACUAACAUAAACUCCCAUGCUAAGCAAAACAAAAGGUAGGUAAGGUAGUCUGACUAAGGAAAAGAAUCCAACAAAAAAAAAAAAGAUAAAUAGCAUAAUGUGAAAGCUUAAACAAUAUUGACGUGAAUAAACGCUUCCUCAUGAGGGAAUAAGCAAUGUCAAGAAUAAAUUUCUUAGACACUAAUCAUGCAUGACUCAAUGGAAAAUAUAAAUAUAUGAUUAUAGCCUAUAGGAUCCAUAGUUAAAUGGUAAGUGCUAGAGGGUUUUAGACACUGUAAACAAUCGGAUAAACAUAAUGUCAUGCAAGUCCAAACAGAGUUCAAAGUUACUGAAACAUUGGCCCCCCAUAAAGUGAGGUUACUGAUGACUUAACUUCAAUGCCAUAAUUAAAGUUAACAAACUGAGCAUUACGCUAUGCAAUUAAGAUGAUCAAUGUACAUUUGCCAGUGACUCCGAGUACAAGGGAACAUAGGGAAGAUAAUGCCGUGUCAAAAUAUCUCCAAGCUCACAUAUAUAAUGCACUUCCCUGCUAUCCAUUUCAUAGGAAAUGAAUAUUCCAUCAUUCAGUGAAACCAAGAAAAUGAUAUUCCGUUUUGGGUGAAUCGAGACAACUUUGUCGUCAUAUCCAAAAUGCUGUUUGUCAGUUCCAAAUAGAUGUAGAUGGCUGACAGUGUGCUUCAAGGUCCACUGAUCACUGCUGUAGUCCUCAAGAACCCAUACCGAUAAUUUGUAUAGAUCAUCGCGAUCGGUAUUUACAAAACAUAGGCAAUCUUGAGACACAUCAAUGAAUCCAUCAUCAACACCAUAAUAAGGAUCAACAAAAGUUUCUGGCAUUGGAAUGGUCCUCCAAGAAUUCCCCUCCACAUCCACCACUGCCACCACAUCAUCCAUGGUGAUCAAAUGCAGCAUGCCCUUGAAAAAUACGCUCCUCCAAAUAUCAAGCGUCCUAAUUAUGCAGCCCCAACCAUUGUUCCUGUGAAUCCACACUCCAGUUUCUGAUGAGUAAAUUUCCACCGCAACGACAUUUCCAUCAUGGUCACCACUCAUACCCAUAGCACUAUGCUCCACCAACUCGAACUCGAACACAUGGAAAUGGGACGAGGAGACCGCUGGAUCAAACCCCAAGCGAGCAAUCUGUUCCUUGUGAGUCCAGCCAGAUUCAGGCAGGACGAUCCAUUGUUCGGUGGCAGGAUUGGCCACCAGGUAAUCGAAUCUCCGGGGAUCGGAGAGCCUCCGGCGGCGGCAGAGGAGGAGGCCAUUGCAGAUGUCGAGGAGCCGGAGAUCGCCGCAGUCGGGAAGGAAGGGGAGCGAGGGGCCGACGAAGCGGCCUCUGCCUGAGAAGCUGAUGAAGGAUCUGUGGUCGAAGAAUCCGACGACGGCGUCGUGGAGGUGAUACCGCGGCAGGAGGCGGCGGUGGUCGGGGUCGGAGAUGACGCGGCGCCACCGCCUGCAGACGCGCUUGGAGCGGCAGAGCGACUUGUAGGGCACGCGCGAGAGGACCUCGACGAGGAGGUCGUCGGUGAGCUUCUCCGCCGCCGGCGGGAUCCACACCCUAGAAUCCUCCUCCUCCGCCAUGGCUGCGCAAGAGAGAGAUCAGAGAAGCAAAAGGGAUCACGGCCCGUUUGGUUAGGAGGGACUGGGUGUAAAGAGAGAUGAGACUAUUUAAGUGUUUUGUUUGGUUUGGAGACAUGGGAAUUUUGAUGGGAUGGUGAUGGAGAAUUGAGUAAGGAACUCCCUCCUUUUUAAUACCUGGGUAGGGGCAGGUAACUGGGAGGAAAUUCCUCCUUUACUUUUUCUAAGCAAAUCUCAGCUAUCCGUUUUUAUUAAUGACCUAAUCUCUAACUAAACUCCCUAUCAAUUUCUAUCAUCUCUACCAAACAAGAUAUUAGGUUUAAAAAUCAAAUUCCCAUCUUAAUCUCAUCAUCAAUUCCCUCGUGUAAAUUCCCAAUCCCCUUCUCUCGAGUUAUCAAACAAGCCGUCAGGAAAAGGACGGCGGCGCGGCGAGGGCUUUGUUGUGGUGAUCGGCCAUACGGUGUGGGGAAUUUCAUCUAAUCCCGAUUUUUACGGGGAAUCAUAUUAUGCGAAAGAAAAGGCGAAACAAGGUAUUUACAAAUAAAAAAAUAAUUUAUAAAUAAAUUUUUAUAUAAAUGGUAACGAUUUUAAAAAAGGCUGAAAAAUAAACUACGAUGAAAAAAUUCCAAAAUCAACUCUACAUUUAACGUUAGAAAUUUAAAUGUUUUACUAAUAAGUAUAAACAUAAUUGAAAAGAUGAGGAGUUUUUUUUUUAUUCUGCACUUUAGCCCUUUGGUUAUGGGGUUUUACCGAAACAGAUAAUAUCACUAUUAACAAUUAUCGUACAUGCCAUGAGUUUGAUCAAUGGACAAAGAAACCAUAAACCCUUCCAUGCGCACGCUUCCUAUACUAUUAAAAUGUGUAUUUUUUUCUGAAAAGUUUCGAUAUAAAAGUUGUUUUAAAAAAUAAUAGCAAUCUAUUUUUUAAAUUUAAAAUAACAAUAUUUCUCUCAAACACUCCAACUUACUUCCUCGUUUUCCGCGCGCACGUUUCUCAAACUACUAGAUGAUGAGUUUUUUUGCGAAAAAAAAUUUCUAUACGAAAGUUGUUUUAAAAUAUUAUGUUGACUCAUUUUUAAAAAAUAGUUAAUAUUUAAUUAAUCACGCACUAAUGGAUUAUUUCGUGUUUUGUGUAUGGGGAGUUGGGGAUAGGCACCUCCCGAACACGAGAAAUUUGGCAUUAUGCCAUCUUUGGAAUGGGGUUUCGCUGAAAUGUCAUUCCGGAACGUGGCUUCGUUAAAAUACCACUUUCAGACGAUGCCAACUUACUGGAAUGCCAUUUUCUCCAUUUUACACGAAUUGUAAAUGUUUUGGCACAUACACUAAUCUUUUUGCGCCUUACCUAAGCCGAUGAUGCCUUUGAGCUCUGCCGCCGAUUGUAGCCGAGUGAGGAGGACGGGUUGCCAUCGGAAUAAAGAUGGCGCAUCCGGCCGAUGUCACCUUUGAGCUACUCCGCUGUCGCGGCGCCGGUUUCCGCUGAGCGAGAAGGAGUGGUAUGGGUCAUGGGAGAUGGGUGGUGUUAUGGAGGAGGAAGGUGAGGAGCUGGGACAAUAGCCGCCAUCCUGACCAUAGAGCGAACCGAGGGGGAGACUCGAGUUCGUCGGGCUUCCUGUUUCUCUCGCCGCCGUUCUGCUUUCCCAACGCUAGAGCGGCUCAACCUUUCACUCAUCUCACCGUGGGUGCACCCGCUCCUCUCCUCCAUCCCAGUCCUCGCUCGCCAUCUAUUGCUGCGACCCUACCAAGCUUGUCAACCUCGCCGCACUGGGAGGGCUCCCUCUGUCGCGUCAAGCUCGUGCGAUGGCACCAGCGCUGCCUGAGCCUCUAGGCGUGGAUCUAGAGCCACUGCUAUAGGCCUGCCAUUUUCUCCAAGGCACGGGGAGGAGGAUAAUGGCAGUGGUGGCUCGCCGGUGACGGUUCACAUAGGAACGAAAGGGAAGAGAUGGAAUCUAGAGGGUAUUUUGGUUAGCUUGACAAGAAAAAUAGGGUAAAAUUCAUGUGAUUUGAUAAAAAAUGGAAGAAAUAGUAGUAGCAUGUUAGCCUUGUUUGAAGAUGACAUUCUAGGGAAGCCAAGCAAUGUCAAUUUUCUCCCCCGGAGACAGCCUAGUGCACAGCUGAGAGCAUCCUAUUUAUCAACACACCCUAGCCGUCCAUUUUCCGUCCCUCUCAUCAACGGCCGUGAUCAAACACCAACGCUAGUCUCCCUCUAUAAAUCUUCCUCCCCCUUCCCCAUCCAAACCCUAACCCCCUCCAAAACCCUAAACCUCUCCCCCUCACCUGCGGCGGCGGCGGCGGCGGCGAAGCACCUCGUCGGCACGACACCAUGAGGCCACCGCGAGGUAAGCAACCACCCGAAACCCUAGGAUUCAUCUCGCGCUCGAUUCCACUUCCACCCUUACACGAUGCUGUUCUGCGUCAGGCAGGGGAUUCGGGAGGGGAGGAGGAGGGAGAGGCGAUGGCGGCGGCCGCGGCGGCGGCGGUGGGAGGGGAUUCGGGAGGGUCGGGGACAGCGGCGGGAGAGGAGGCCGUGGUGGGAGGGGAGGCAGGACGCCGAGGGGCCGUGGCGGCGGCCGCGGUGGCGGCGGGAGGGGUGGCAUGAAGGGCGGGAGCAAGGUGGUCGUGGUGCCGCACAAGCACGACGGCGUGUUCAUCGCCAAGGCCAAGGAGGACGCGCUCUGCACCAAGAACAUGGUCCCCGGCGAGUCCGUCUAUGGCGAGAAGCGCAUCUCCGUCCAGGUCCUUUGCUCUUACUCCCUCCAUUUUUUUUUGCGUUCUACUUAUUUAGUGUUUUGCUAGAACUGUAGUAUGAUUGUAUUGUACUGUAGCAAGCUGUAAGAUGUUGCAAUGUUGAUUCUAUGCAGUGUACACAGAUUAUGUUCAAAUCGUGCUAGAACUGUUAGGAUAAUUUAGUGCGCUGUAGAAAGCUGUAAGAUGUUGCGCAAUAUUGCUUCUUUGUAGUGUGAUACAAAGAUUGUGUACAUGACGCUUGUUUCUGUUCAUAUUGAUCUGUUUUAUUGUACAUGACUGUUGUUUCUGCUUUUCUGCUAUGUACAGAAUGAGGAUGGAACCAAGGUUGAAUACAGGGUGUGGAAUCCCUUCCGUUCAAAGUUGGCUGCUGCUGUGCUUGGUGGUGUUGACAACAUCUGGAUUGUAAGUUUCUUGGUUGAAUCCACGUGUGCAACUUUAUGCUUAAGUGGUUUAAAAUCACUGUGGUUUGUUAAUGCUGUAGUAUAAAAAAAUGCAUCAAGUGUUAAUGUUUGCAUCAUGAUUUUAGGCUCCUGGUACCCGUGUGCUGUAUCUCGGUGGUGCCUCAGGAACAACCGUGUCUCAUGUGUCUGAUAUUGUUGGACCGGUGAGAUCUCAUUUACUGUUCUCAUUUAUUAUUCAGUCACCUAGGUAUGCAAUUUUGCCAUUCGCUAAUCAAGUCAUUUUGCAGACCGGUUUGGUCUAUGCUGUUGAGUUCUCGCACAGGAGUGGUAGGGAUCUUGUCAACAUGGCCAAAAAGAGGACCAAUGUAAUUCCCAUCAUUGAAGAUGCUAGGCACCCGGCGAGGUACCGGAUGUUGGUUGGCAUGGUUGAUGUUAUCUUCUCUGAUGUUGCCCAGCCAGAUCAGGUAUACCUUUCUCACAAUGAUUUCAUGAUCUUGAAAACGACCUUAGAUAAUUUAUUAUAUGGUUACUAGUUAGUAUUCAUUAAGUGUGUGACAAUGGUUUUGGUGACAUUCUUUGAUUACUUGCGGGCUGCAAAUGAUGAGCUUACUCGGAUUCCCCUUCAGGACAUCAAAUUGGAUGAUGCAGAUUCGAGUUUCUGAUGCAUUAAAGCCCAUUACCACCUGUUUUUUCUUUGCUGUUUUUGCCUGCUUUUUAAACUGUCUUUGUUGUCAGUUUUCUUAUGUCUAGCUGUUUAUAUUCCAGUUUAUGUUUAAGCAACCUCCAACCCAGAAGUUCUAUUCCUACACACGGAGUAGUAUUCUUGUAUGCUUCUGAAGUACUUAAAUUGUAACACGAAGAUGCAUUCUUUCUUUUGAAACACUUCUGUUAUAUAUUUUUUGAAUCUAUCCUUUUUGAAAUUGGUUUUCAAUUGUUAUGAGUUAACCAUGGCUAUGGAUUUCUUUUGGAAGCGUUUGGUGGCCUUGAUGUCUUUUACUAAUUUAUAGAAUUAUUUACAGCACGAGUAUACCUGCAGUUUUGCUUCUAUAUGGCUGUGUUAUGCAUAUGAGGACUUUGCAUUUCAGUGCCAGCACUACUUACUAUGUCCCUAUAUCCCUUAUUAUUUAAUAUUUUGAUUGGGCUUAGCAUAUGAUGAUCUUACUCGGAUUCCCCUUCAGGACAUCAAAUUGGAUGAUGCAAAUUCGAGUUUCCGAUGCGCUGUGCCUCCAUUAUUUCAUUCCCUUCUCUUUGCAUUUUAUGAGUAUUCUGUACAUCAUAUUUGGAUUGUGCUAGCAAUUUGCCAUAUGCUUGGUUGUUUAUACUCUCUUUAGUAUGGUACAACCUUCAGCGAUAUGUGUGCUUUGUUGGUGGCUAAUAGUCAUGUUUUUGACUUUUUGCAUAUUAAUUUUCUUGAUAUUGUCUUGUUCUUUUUUCUGUAAUAUGUCAGCUUUCCUGGUAUAGCUUUCUCUCCUAUUGUUAUUUUGUUAGUCUAGUGCUAAUUAGAACUAUUCCAGUACUUGCCGUACUACAUUUCUUAAUUCUGUGGCAGUGUCGGACAUUGAUAUGUUUUUGCCUUGUAACAUUGCUUACAAUAAUUCAUGUAUGUUUGCUGCUAGAGUCUCGGAUAAAUUGUCUGCAUAUAAAAUUCCCUUUAUGGAAUCUUCUUCCAUGGCCAUGUCCUUUGUUGAAGAUCUUGAAGAUUCUCACUGAUUUUUGAAACCUUUCCUAUGGAAUCCUCUGUCCUGCAGGCUAGGAUCUUAGCCCUCAAUGCAUCCUACUUCCUGAAGAAUGGUGGACAUUUUGUCAUUUCAAUCAAGGUACUUUUGUCUUUUCUCUCCCCUGAAUCCUGAAGAUAAUCACCUUGAUUGAGGUUGAGAUUGGGGAGAUAUUAGAUGUAAUACUAGGUAUUGGACUGAAAUUGUUUGAACAGGCGAAUUGUAUCGACUCCACCAUGCCAGCUGAGGCUGUGUUUGCUAGUGAAGUUGAGAAGCUGAAGGCAGAUCAGUUCAAGCCCUCUGAGCAGGUGACGCUGGAGCCUUUCGAGCGUGACCAUGCCUGCGUCGUUGGUGGUUACAGGAUGCCCAAGAAGCAAAAGGGUACAUCUUAAGAAGAAUAAAACUUGUGGUUGUGAGUGACUGGUGCUAAAAUGUAGUGCUGCACAAAACUUUUGGUCUAAUUGUUUUUCACUUGCACCCUGGUUUGUAAGGCUGAAAUUUUUGGACAAAUGAUGCUAGGAGAGAAGUAAAAAGUCACUCAGGUUUUGCACUGCCCUUUACUGCAAGUUGCAUCAUUAUUGGUGCUACUAGGGGUGAUACGCUAAUCAAUAGGGAUGAAAUUGGUCACCGAAAUUCCUCACAGUUCCUGUUUCCGACAGUUAGACCGUUAUCGUUUUUGGCCACAUAUAUACAAUUUUGAUUUUUUUUUAUGCGAACAGUGAAUAUUUUAAUUGAUAAAUAUGGUGACCGACCGAGUGUCUUUAUGACGACCCCCUUCCUACCAUCAAAGGUUUUCAUUUUCGUCAUAAAUCUUGCGAUGACUUGCCUUUUCAUUUUAUCAGAAUUCUUGCCUCAUCUUCUACUUAUCAGCUAAAAUUUAAAUUUUCAACCUUAAAUUUAGCUAAAAUUUAAAUUUUUUACCUUAAAUUUAGAGCUAAUUUUAGGGGUUUUUUUUAUUAAAGAUUAUUUUUAUCCUUUGCUUUUAUAUUGUUAAAAACAUGUAUAUAAAAGUUUUAUUCAUAAAUUAUUAUUUUUUUACAAAUACGCCGUUAGCGAAGCGAAGUUUCUAAUUUUCUUGCUCUCAAGUAUUAUAAUAAGCUAAUGUUAUAGGUAACAUUUCCAUGCAUUGAGAGUAUAAUGUGGACGUUAAAAUUAUCGUGACAUGUCCAUGCUCAACGCAUUGAGAGUAUAGAUCAACGCUAAUAUUACCGGUAACAUGUUCAUGCAUUGAAACGGGCCCUUCUGAUUUGGAUGGUUUGGGAGUAUUGAUGGAACCUAAAGCACGGGAUUGAGAGCAAUGUGGUGGGAGGAGGGAGCGGAAGGAGAAUGACUUCACUUUUACGAAAAAUAUUCAACCAACCUUUCGAGAAAAAUAAAAAAAAAUAUCAACUACGAACUUAGUUCAGUUAGGCCUUAUUUUGUUCCCACAUCAAAAUUUUUUCACCCAAUCACAUGAAUGUUUGGUCAAAUAUGUAGUAUUAAAUAUGAAAAAAACUAAAUACAUAGUUUGUGUGUAAAUUGCGAGACAAUAAGUCUAACUGCGCCAUGAUUUGACAAUGUGUUGUUACAGUAAACAUUUACAAAUGAUGGAUUAGAUUAAUUAGGUUUAAUAAAUUCGUCUCGCAGUUUUCUGGCGAAAUCUGUAAUUUGUUUUGUUAUUAGAUUACGUUUAAUACUUCAAAUAUAUGUCCGUAUAUCCGAUGUGACAAACAAACCCAAAAAUUUACCCCAACUAAACAAACCCUAAGUGAAAUGGUUGCUCCAAAAAGGAAACGGGAUUCGCUUUUUACAUUAAAAAACUGCUCUGAUCCCUGAAAAAAAACUGCACUGAACUAAUACUCCCUACAUCCCCAAACGUACGAAACAGAGGCUGUGUUUAGUUUCUGAAAUUGGGGAGAAGUUUGGGGAAAGUUGGUAGUUUGGAAAAAAAAUUGAGAGUUUACGUGUGUAGGAAAGUUUUGAAUGUAAUGUGAUGUGAUGGAAAGUUGGGAGUUAGGGGAAGUUUAGUGUGAACUAAACACACCCAGAAAAUGAAAUCUGAAAAAUAAUUUAGCACUCGAGCAAUUUUGUUAUGCGUUUUAUUUACUUUAUUAUUAGCAACGUGGAUUCCACGUGCAAGCAUACUAUUUGUGAAGAAAGUAGUGGAUUUGUUAACAACAUACUUCCUCUAGUUUUUUUAUGACGUUGGCUAGUUUAAAUUUAUACUGGUGAACGUUACACAUAUAUGCAUGGAGGUAGUAUCUUUCUGCCUCUACAUGUGUCAACAAUCUUUAAUCAAACAAAGUGGAUUUUGCUUGCUAACUAAAGAUUAAACUUUGGGUCACUCAUUGCUUAUGAACCAGGCCUUGCUACCUCAACUUUGGUCGGUUGGGCUUGUAUAUUUUGCUUGUGAUUUGGUGUUUCAGCAUCGGAAAGAAUGUAUGUUCUUCAAUGUUGGUAUGUGAUCGAGUUAAAAUGCUUUUAUAGCUGUAAAUAUUGUUGAUGUAUAGCACGUGCAUUGUUGUUGUAAAUCUUAAGAGUGGCCAGUGUACCGAAGAAGAUCCGGCGGUCACGGCGGCGAGGCAAGGAAUUUCUGGUUGCGGCGAUGCGCCGCACCUAUCGACGACAAGCAACCAUGCGGUGCGGGGGACUGAGAAUUUGGGUCUGAGCUGAAUUUGUUUUAAAAAGUCUCAAUUUAGGCUCCUCAAACAGGGGUUGAGUUUGGAUAGUAUCCCUCAUCAACGAAACUGGAAUAGAGCUGAUUAGUUGACUGAUUAUGACCUGCCAGAGGAGGCAUGGGCCAGCUCUUUGGGGUGGCGGCAGGGUUCAGCGGCAAGUUCAAAAGUCGACCGACGGAGAGACGCAGAUGAGGUGUGGUAGAGGCCACUUGCUGUCAAUGCUUGUGCAGUGGUUUCUGAGUUGGUGGGCGACAAAUUACAACGAAGGUUGUAGGGUUUCAUGCGAAAGCAUCGCCCAGUGGAUCACUGGGCCGGCAAAGGCUAUGCCUUCGGGUGUCGUUACCCCUUAGGGCGCCGCUAAGGGUACCUCUCUUUAUUCUUGGCGAGUUUUCUUUGGGUGAAAACCACAUCUUUCUAAGAAUGUGGGAGAUGGCGACGUCCUUGAUGGCGUGACCUACGUGGUGGCAUUGUUUUCGGAAUCUCGUUUCUGUGGUGUUGUUGGAGGUCUGGCGAUGAUCAGCCACGCAUAGCGGGGGGUCAUUUUGGAAUGCUACACAUUCUAAUAUUGCGAAUUGACAUGAGACCUCGUAAUCCUGACAGGAGGCUUGUUCGAUUAGGAUACAACACAUCGUAUUACUUUGUGAAUCUAGAUAUAUCAAUUCUAUUAGUUUAUUUUGAUACGGACAAAGUAUCCAUGACACUCUGAAACUCUGCUAGUGUUAAGCUCCAGAAACAGAGAAUGCAAAUGUCAUGAACAAACAACUCAAGAUGUAUAUGUGUUGCAACUUGUCAAGUGAACAGCUGAAAUACUGAGUUGCCUUACAUUAUAUGCUACGAAUAUAAUUAAAAUGUUCACCGCAAAAGAAUGUAAUUGGAAUAUAUCCGUAUAAAUAACAUCCCAUAGUAUGUGUAACAACGACCCCUCAAACAAAUGACUAAAAUAACGGGUGUCACAAAAGAAGAAAAAAAUUCACAAUUUACGCUGCUGGGCUGGCUUCUUCGCAGGCAAAAUAAGGCUUCACAGUUCCAUCGUAUCAGCAGCUAGCGCCAGCACUGAAGUAGCUAAUAAACAGUGGCAUAACUUAGAUAAAAAAGGUCUUCAUCUACACAAAAAGAAGAUCCCAUUCUAGCCCCCCUCAGGUAUUUACACAAGGGGGGGUAGACCUUGAUUGAUUGAAGUUCAUCUUCGUAACGGUGCCGAUCAGCAGUUCACACCGCAUUGCCCCAAGGCGACGGCUUUCUGAGUAGGCGAAAUGAAAGGAUCGAUCUUGACCCACAGAAGGGAGAAGAUCGACGCGAGGAGGAUCGACCAGACGAUGACGAUGGUCGGAGUGCGGUUCUGCCUGCCCAUGAGACCCUUGAGGAAGGGGUAGAGAUGGAGGAUCACCCAGAUGGAGAAGAAGAGCUUUCCAAAGAGAGGACCCCAUGAUUGGUAACCGCUGUUAAUGGCAUAUGAUAUACCCGCCACCAUGCCCACCAGGUUGAUGACAAGCACGGUGGUCGGGGGAAUGAGGAGACUGGUCCACUUGAACACGUAUAGCUCAGCAAAGUCACCAUCCUCAUCGGACGCCUUUGAGGUAACAGUGAAGUUGGUAUCAAUUCCUGCUAACACUUUCAGAAGACCCUGGAACACAGCGAAGAGAUGGGCAGAUGUGCCACCAAUGACCCAGAACUGUUCAUUUCUCCACCAGUCCUCGAUACCAACACCACUCCAUCGGAGCUCCAGAAUACCAGUUGCGAAAAUGGAGGCGAAAAGCAGAAUAAAGAACAUCCCAGCAUAAUUGCUAAUCUGCAUAUCAGAAAAAGAUCUGAUCAGAGAAGUUCCAGAAGGGCAGAAACUUAACUAAAACAACAGAGCUCUCCUGAAUAAGAAACCAUGAUGAUUAGCAAAAGGUAUUGUUGGAUUGUGGUCAUAAAAGCAGAGUGCAUAACAAAAAAAAACAAUAUGGUAAUUAAAAAAAUCAUCGAAUAACAGAAUAAGAAAGUGAAUGGAUAUCCUUUGACUAACCUCAGGAAUGAUAAAUUUGUUGGUGAGGAGACAGAUAGCAGGAAGCACACAAUAGGCGAUAAGUGGAAUGGAUGUAAUUGGAUAAACAAUGGUGUUAAUGUAAGCCAGCCUCUCCAGAAGUUUCAAACGCCCAUUGUAACCAUACCAGAUAGGACAAUGUCUGCUAAGCAGAAUCUCAACAGACCCAAGAGCCCAACGUAGCACUUGGUUAAGACGAUCAGACAGAUUGAUUGGCGCAGAACCCUUGAAGCAUGGCCGUGGUGGCAUGCAAUAGAUUGAUAUCCAACCUCUUGCGUGCAUUUUAAAUCCAGUCAGAAUAUCCUCAGUAACUGAACCAUAGAUCCAGCCAAUCUGAAAUCACAUUGGAAAACAAAAAAGUUAACUUCUAGGCUUCUAUUUCUAUACAGAACAAGGAGUCCACACCCAUGACUUGGCAAGAAGUAGAACAAAGAUCUCUAGGAAGAAAGAGAAAAUUACGGGUUGCCCCACUAACCUCUUUUCCCCAUUCAGUUUUGUCCUCAUAUCCACAACUGAUAACAUGGAUGGCUUCCUUCAGUAGAGAUGCUGGGUUCGUUGAGGGUGGUAUGCCUCCUUGAGUCAUGAAGGUGGACGCAAUAAAAAUUGGCGAUUGACCAAAACGUUUCUCUAAUCUCUUCUGGGACAUCAGCACUGACCUUUCAUCUUCAUAACCUAAUGAAUUACAAAAGCAAUAUUAGAGGAGGGAGCCAGCUUGAGUAUCUCAAAAGUCUGUGUAAACAUAAGACUAGAUAGAAGCAUAAUGUUGAUAACACUAAAUGCAGUGGUUGUUCAUAACAUAAAAGAUAAAAGAUGAACAAAGACUAGCACAAACCUUCAAUGCCCUCUUCUAUAUCUUCCAUGUUAAAGAUAGGAGCUGAAGACUCUGUUCUCUUCAUCAUACGGUUUUUGCUAUCCAUGUAGCUCUUGCUCUUUUUCUUUCUGCCACCACAGCAGCUCUUAACAACAAUGUUAGGUUCCAAAUCAGCCUCAGUUAGUACAGGAUCAUAGCCAUACAAGGCCUGCCUAUUGAAGCAGCAACCUGUUCCCACAUAAACUGGACCCUGAAUGCCAUCUAAACCUUUCAUGUUAAUCUGCAAAGCAGAAAAGCAUGUCAGACAUGAAAAUUUUGAUAUGAUGGACAAACAAAGGCACCAUUGUACUCACAUCAAAGAAGACUAUGUUGCGAUUAGCGUAUCGAUCGUGCAAGUCAAUGCCAUCAAAUCUUUGUGGGAACUGAACAUAACAAGUUUUCCUUCCUAGUGCGGGAUCCAUCAUGAAGCACAUUGCUUCUCUAAGAGCUUUGCUACUGUUGAAGUAGUGAUCACAAUCCACAUUGAGAAGAUAGGCACCAUUUGUCAGCACAGCAGAUACACGAAUCUGCCCACCAGAAAUAGGGGUAUAUAAGUAUUGGGUUGAUAAACUUCAGUGAUAAAUUUACAGAAUUGAACACAUACCAAUGCAUUCAUUGCACCAGCCUUCUUGUGAUGCUGGAAUCCUGGCCUCUUUUCACGAGAGACGUAGACAAGCCGUGGCAACUCGUUACCAUCAGUGUCAAGCCCACCACUGUGCCCCAAGAACACCUGUAAUCAACAUAACAGGAGUUUAGUAUACACGAACCUGAUUAAAUUAGAAUCUUAAACCACUCCCCCAUUAGAAGUAAAGAUCACCUGAAUCAUGCCAGGGUGAUCCCUUGGGUUAUUCCCAGGCCAAGCAGUGCCAUCAGCCAUGGUCCACCCCUCUUCAGGUACUUUUUGUGCCUUCGCAACAAGAGCAUUGAUCCGUACCUUGAAUUCUUCAUACUCUCUCUGAAACAGAGUAUCCAAAGUUAAAUACUCAGGCACAAUGCAGAUUGGCGGUAAUCUAACCAUGACAGUAGAAGCUUACCUUCAUUGCCCGCCUUUCUUUAACAAAGGAAGGUUGGAUUUUGUCCUUCAGGUAAUCUAUUUUUUGAGCAAAGUAAAACUCUGGAGCUCGUGGUUCAAUAUUGUGCUUCUUGCAAAACGGAACCCACUUCCUAGCAAAUUCUGCAGUUUCUGACAGAGCCUCAAAAGUUAACAUAGCUGAACCAUCGUCAGAAACAUAGCAUGACACUUUGUCAACAGGGUAAUCCACAGCCAGAAUGGACAAAACAGUGUUUGCUGUGAUCAGAGGAGGUUCCUUUAGUGGAUCCACCGUACUGACAAAGACAUCAAUGGGAGCAAGCUGUGAUGGCUCUCCCUCCCUAUCAUAUCUGCAACAUUAGAUUGGACGCCUCAGGACACAGAAUAUCAAUGUAAGAGAGUUUCAGUGCCACGACCCUGAAAAAAUGUAUAUCAAGUAUCUCAUCUUACCUCAAUGCAAGCCUGUCAAGGUAUGUUUCACGGUUUAUCGGGUACCACUUUGGGAAUUGAUCUAGGAGCCAGGAUAAGGCAAACCAAAUUUCACAGAUAACAGAUACUAGCCACAAUCCAUAAGCAUCCCGCACUGGAUGAGUGACACGAUAUUGGAAGAAGAACAUCAGGAUGAUAAGACGGAGAAUGAUAACAAUCCGGUAAAGGUUGAGCUGGUUUGAAGGGAUAGGCACUAUGCGGCUCAGAGGUAGACGUGCAUCAUCAACCCUGUGAAAGACAAUUACAGAAAGAUCAAUAUACUUGAAGCAAUAUAUACAAUAUACAUCAAACUGCAGUAGUGGUAAAGCAUAGUCAAUGAAAAUCUAUAUCCUGAUCAAACUCAGAGGUAUAAAACUAUCUAAUAAGUCAUUGAAUAACAUGGAGAAAAGGGCAUUCUAAGUGCUUGAGUGAGCUAUCUUCAGUAUAUGCUGAUAUGAUAUACCUUCAGUCUGCGCAUCAUAAAGACCAAGUUUUUGGGUGUCUGAUGUGAAUUUCUAUAAUGCAAAAAUAACUAUCUAAAUCCACUGCAAAGCAGCGUGUAUAAUAUAAGGAUAGGUUGUCCAUACAUUUGCAUAUCUUCACCAUUUGAACCAGUCCCUUCCAUGUCUCCCCCUCUUGCCUCUGGAUAUUUAUUAGCUACCUGCAUCAUAUUUUUGUCCUGCUUGUUCCUCCAGCUGGCAACUCUUUCUUGCCAGUCAACACUGUUAAUCCCAUAGGAAUUCAAGUCCUUGGAGGGGUCCACAAUCCUCACAGGAACUGGAAUCAUAAUAGAGAAAUGUUAGCACUUUCCAAACCAAUGUUUUUCCCAAGGAGCAAUUUAUGAUGAGUAAGAAAAGUACCUGGAACACUUGGAUCAACAUAGCUUGAUGUUCCGCUGCGGAUAGAAUGGCGAUCGGGGGAAGCAUCAGGGAUCUCUCCUGAGAUCUGAAUGAAAAUAUCAGUUUGUCAGUACCCAAGAGCACAGCAUUCUUACAGAAACAAGUUCACUGAUACAAGUGAGAACUUAUAUCAUGUUAAACUGUACCUGUUGCCCACUUGUCAGACGGGGAAUCCGAUGUUGUUCGUGGCGAGAAGAUGAAGACAGGUCAACAUCUUCCCCCUGUCUCUGUAUCUGCCACUCUGGACCUUUGCCAUUGCCAUGCUUAUAAUUGAAUUCAUUGUCCAGGUCAUCAACAUCUUCCUCCUCCUCAUCGCCCUGAACUCUAGGGCUACCUGCAUUUUGUCCAAGGCGGCAAAACAAUCACAGUAUACAUCAAUCAUUUGUCUUUAUGGAAUAAAAGACAGAGUUGGUAGUCUAAUUUUAUAUGUGGAUACAUAGAUAUGAAGCAAGAAUCAAACAUGAACUUAGUAAUGAUAUAUUAUAUGACAUAUAAAUAAUAGAACAGUUGUACAGAAACCAACCUUUGUGCCUCUUGUAUCUAGUCUUGCACUGGGGGCAGCACUGGUUCCCUUCCUUGCGCUCGUACUCGUAGCAAGGGCGGCAGACCGGGAAGGCGCACUCAUUGCAGGCAACAAAGACGUCGCCGGUGGCCGAGACGCCAACAGUGUCGCCACAAAUCUGGCAGACCUGACCAUUCACACUCUUCCCUGGCUUAGCCUGCAUCAAGCAAGAAAACGACAGUUAGUACAUGCCCAAACGGAACUACAGAACUAUUAGUAAUUAAUCACUAACUAAAGAACCAUCUGCUUCGCUUCAAGUCGAAACCAAGGUCCUAAAGCUAGAAAUGGAGGAGCUCUACAAAAGCUGGGCAUGAAUUCCACAGUUCUAAUGAUUCAGCCUCUGCGUCAUCAGUACUAACCAAGCUGAGAUCUAACACAUCAAUGGCACCUCAAAUGCUACCCGCGAAGCCUAGACUGGGGAAUUCCGGGAGCUGCAUUGCUCUAGCUAAAUCCCUACAAUUCCACAACCACCGGACAUUUCCUCACAUGAGGAUUACUCACUAACAAUUCCACACAGGAGGACACUACAAUCGCCCGCGCCAAAUGCACAUAGGGAAAACUGCGGGGGAAAAUCCCCGAGCCCAGCACAAAAAAACAAACGCAAUUUUGCGGGGGAUUCGAUUCGAGAGAUGCGCACCCAACACCACACUCACUCCCUCUCCCCUCACCCCAGAUCCACCACCGACACGCUCUCAUCUCGCUCGCUCAUCGCACGCACGCACGUACCGGCGGUGGCGCGUCGCCGUCGGGGCGGAUCAUGACGAACUCGUUCCGGUUGCGGGAUCCCGCCACCAUCCCCGCGUUCGCCGCCAUCCUCCUCCCCUUCCUCCUCCUCCUCCACUCACAGCGAGAAACGGCUACGCAGCUCGCAGAUCCGCGCGCGCGCGGCAAGCCUAGAUCGCGGCGGCCGCCGGCGACACCACCAUUCGCCGCUCCGCCUCCAGAUCUGCAGCGCCGCCUCCUCCACUCCCCUCCUCCUCUUCAGCUCGCGCUCCACUACUUCCUCUCGCCUCCUCGUCUUCUCUUCUUACAUACGCGAGACACGCUCGGGUUGGUUUCGCUUCAGUUGGUGGGAGUCUCGCCACCGGCUACCGCCGGUCACCCGGCUCGCCUCCUGGCCGUCGGAUGAGAUGAGGGGGAGAUAUCUCGGCCGUCGGAUGAGGGGUGGAGCUGGGCACAGGCUGUCACCCGCUGACGGGGUGGGCCCGGGUGACCGGCGGUAGCGGGUGGAUCUGUCGGCGCCUCGGCGGUGGACGGGAAUGCCCUCCUACCUGCCGCUACUCUUUUUUUUUUGUGGUGUUUUUUGGAGGUAGGAAAGGGGGAAAGAAAUGUGGCAUGUGCAGCAAGCGUGUAACAUGUGAGUUGGCAUCAAAUCGAUGGUGCUGUGAUUGGUGGAUCGAAAUUAUAUGGUGAGAAUUAUUUGCAUUGCCAAGCAUUCUGUGAUAUUUGCAGGGAAGUUAAUUCAAUUCUUAAUUAUAAAAACAUUGAGAACUUAUGUUUCUCGAAUAGCAGAUGUAAUUUGUGUAUUGGUCUAGUUUUCUGCAAUGUUUUUCCGUUCUAAACAUGUUUUGUUUUAAUUUGCCACAGUAUAUAUAACACUUAUUUUGCUGACGUGGACAAGAGAAAAUAGUUGUUUCUUCAUGGAGAAGAUAUACCUCGAGCACAUGACAGGAAAAUAUGAGAAAAAUUAAAGAGGAAUAAUAUUAAGUGCAACAUUGUUAGUUGUUUUGCAUACCAGCUUUUAAGUAGUUUUCUCCUAUAUCAUCAAUAAUAUUACAAGUUUGAAUAUUCUCAAUGCUUUGGAUUGUCAUUCUUAACCAAGGUUGAUGCUAACUUAAGCUUGUGCAUAAUAUAGACUUGGUGCAUUAUUUGAAAAUGGAAAGAGGACCUGGUUAGGGGCUCGAGGAUUGAAAAAAGAAGUGCAUUAUUCACAUGAUUAAAACUAUUCCUCUUCUGAUUUAGGGGUAAGCAAUAUCUUAUAUUAAUUUGUUUGCACUCCCUGAAUCGAUUAAUAAAUCUUUUAUAGAACCUGCUGUGCUUAGAGUACCUAACACUCCUCCCAGGAAACUAAUUUUCUUCUUGCCGUUUCAUCGACCGACAAAUGCAACGUUUUGGCACACAUCAUUACGGUUUUCCACCUUACCUUGGGAUUUAUAACAAACAACAAGAUUGUAGUUCUUUUUACUUAUUUACACCAUAAGCGUAUAGUACAUGCUAUGCAAUUUUUAUUUAAAUUUACAGCAACUAAUAUAUAAAAUCACUAAAAUAAAAGUCCCUGGCUCUCUUUACUCCACAUCCCAUAUAGAUAGCUACUGAACUCCCCUUUGUUUUCAUCAUUGCACCUCAAAGAUUCACAAACUGAACAUAAUUAAUUUGUGAUGCCAGAUGUAGAUUAAUUAAGCAUGCAUUAAGAGGAAAAAAAAUCAGACCAGAUUAUAGGGAGCCUGUCACUCCAAAGUUAACAAGAACAAAUGAGAUGUGCUGACUUGUGCUUUGCAAUAAGCACACUGUCAGGUAAACCGUUCUUGUCCCAAUAAUGGCGGUUGGGCUGCCACUGUCCUGCCCGUCGGUGGCCUCUUUUCUUUAUUGUUACUUGCAAUAAUCACUAAUAUAUAUUUUUUCUCCUUCUCUCUCUCUGUAAUCUCUCCUAGUUUCUUUUUGUUCCUCUAACCAAAUUGGAAUCUUCACAUCGCAUGCAUGGAAAAUGAUUUGCCAUCGGCUUGAUGGUGCUGCUGUAUUUCUGUUACACUGUUCGACACGAAAACUUCAGUUUGGUUUGGUACUGUUGUUGUUCAUCAUAAACCCUCACUUAUUUUACUUCUUUUUUAAAAAAAUAAUAAAAAUGGGUUACAUCUCCGGCCUCUGUCCAUAGGCAUACAGCUAAAAAAUACAUCUCACUUAUUUUACUUCUAGGAUGCAGUAACAAAUACAUAGUAGAAAGUGUUUUUUUUUAAAAAAAAAAACUAGUUGCAAGCCAUGUAGCAGUGAAGUCAAAGAAACUGACUAAACAUGACAAAAAAAUUUCUCUUAACUUGCUAAAAUCUAUCUGGUGAUUUGUGAGGAACAGCAUGGAGGUUCAGGCUCUACUUUGUCUGCCUCUUUUGCCCUUGAUUACAACAGUGGUACUACGUACUGUAGUGGCUGGGAUUAUGCUGCAACAACUAAUUGAAGUAUUAAAACGAGUGUUGCUCUUGCCUGCAGCCUGGUUGAUGGUCUAGUCUAAUUAACCCGUGGAUUAGUAUUAGUCCUGUCGAUUAUUAGCUGUCUUGAGGCCAGGGGCAGCAACCACCGCUGGUGACGCUAACGUGUCUCUGCACCGCUGGUCACAUGCGAAGUUGGGGCAAAAAAAAAAAAAAUCAAGGGCAGAAACGCAACGUGGGGGAAUAUUCAGAGUUGUCUCGUGUACGUACUCUACUACUCUCUGAAGAACAGAACUGGACAGUGUACAGAACGGUCAGCAUCCAGUUAAGUUAACUGUUUGUACGCAGAACUGAAGAGGAAUUUCUUCGAGCAUGUUGCUGUAACUAAUUCUUGCGUGUGUAUCCCCAGAGAUCUGUGUAUUUUUGUUUAGAAGAAGAAUAAGAGAGGGAGAAAAAAAAAGAGUGGUCAUCGGUUUGAUUUUGAGUAGGGUAUAUAAACUGGCAAGCAGUUUCUCUGUGUGAUGAUUUUUCAUUUAAUUUAAGUUUAUGUGAUUCAGUUUCCUUCUCUAGUUCUCUUGAGUCGUCACAAGAAAAUAAUUUGGAAAGAGAACGGAAGCAAAGCAGAGAAGACGAAGGCCUCAUUUGUCCUUGCUUAGAUGGACCGUUGCUUAGAUGGACCGUGAUUUUAGCUUAUGACCCUGAAUUAGGAAUAAGUCCACCUUGACCCCCUUCAUUGGUGGUCGAAUCUAAUUCCUAUCUCUGAACCACAGUAUCGGAUCUUUAGGUCCCCAACUAUUAAAACUAGUGUAAUUUAAUUCGCUUGGUAGUUUUGGAGGGCGGUUGCGCUGACGUGGCGUCUAUUUGGCGGUGUUGACCUGAUCUUCGUCCCAGCCCCCAGGUGGCGUCGACGUGCCGCUUUAGCUCCCACCCCCUACAGACGGGUGAUGGGGAGAGAGAGAAGGGAAAGAGACAAAGGAAAAAGGAAGGAGAGAAUGGGUCCCACAGAAUUUUAAAAUUCUAAUACCACACAAAGUGAUGUGUUAACGCCAUGUAGGACGAAGAUUAUAUCAACACCGUCACGUUGUUGCCACAUCAGCAAAACAGUCCUCCAAAACCGCAAGGAAGUUAAAUUGCACCUGUUUUAAUAGUUGAUGAGUUAACAUAUCCGGUAUUAUGGUUGGAUACGAAUCAGAUUCGGCCACUGGUUAAGGGAGUCAAAGUGAACUUAUAUUCCGAAAUGAAAUGAAGGAAAUCUUGACCAGCCCAACUUGGACCCAGGGACAGGCCCAAGGCCCGGCCCACAAAUCCUCGUAUCAUUAUCUCUUGGAAUAAGUUCACCGGUGGUCCCUCAACUUAACAGCGAGAUUUGUUGAGGUCCCUUAACCAUAAAACCAGAAAUGUGUACUCCUAAACUUACACAAACCGUGCACACAAGAUCCUAUGGCAGUAUACAUGGCCCCACAAAAGUGCGUGGGGCCCACCUGUCGGCUGCACAUCUAUUUCCUUUUCCUUUUCUUCUCUUUUCUCUCUUCUCUCCUCCCUUCUUCGGGCCGGCGGCGGGCGGAAUCAGCGAGCGCCGAUGCGAGCGGCGGGCGAGCGCGGCAGCAGAGCGGCUGUGAGCCGCGGGCGGAGCGGGCGGAGCGGACGGCGGGCGAGCGUUGGCUGUUGGACGGGUGGAACGCCACGGCCCAACACGCUAGCAGUGACGCCCCCGCCAUGGCCGCCGUGACCAGGCAUGCGUCGACGGCGCCGGUGCCGGCCACCUUGCUGCCACGAGCGCCUGCCGCCACCGUCGGCUUCUCGUCGUCGUCCAUGCCGUGUACGUGGAAUUAAUGGUGACAGGAAAAAAGAGAUUGAGGAGAUAGAUAGCGAAUUGAGAAGCGAGAGGAAUGAAUUGAAGGUGGUCAAUGGCGGCUUAUUAGCUCUGCUUCCUGUAUAUAGUCUUGUACUGGUGUUGGUGUGAUGUGGUGGUUUACGUUAUUGCCGUCGGUGGUCUGCGUCUUGCCGUCGGUGGUGUUCGCGACGGCCGGAGUAGGCCGGCGGGGCUGCCUGCGGUGGGGGUGCAAGAGUCCCGGGCAGAGCUCGAGUCUAGGGGAGGAUGGCACGGCGGACGAGCUGAAGGAGCAGCUACAGGGCGCGCUCCAGGAGAACGGGCAGCUGAAGCGCGAGCUGCAGCAGUACACCUCCGAGAAGAAGGCCUCGGCGAAGACGACGGACGCCGCCGACGCGGCGGCGGAGCAGGCCGAGCACUGGAGAAAGGACACCGAGACCGCCAUGGCUGCGGCGGCGGUUUAGGGUUUACGGCAGUCCGUGCCGCGAGCGCGCUCCGCCCGCUGCCUCCGCUCUGCCGCUGCGCUCGCUCGCCGUCCGCUCCGCCCACCGCCGCCGCCGCCGCUCCGCUGCUUCCGCUCUGCCGCCGCGCUUGCCCGCCGUCUGCUCCGCCCGCAGCCCGCCGCCGCUCUGCUGCUGCGCUCGCGCACAACCGCGCUCGCCGAUUCCGCCCGCCGCCGGCCCGAAGAAGGGAGGAGAGAAGAGAGAAAAGAGAAGAAAAGGAAAAGGAAAAGGAAAAGGAAAGAGAUGUGCAGCUGACAUGGGCCUCACGCACUUUUUUUAAUUUGUUUUGCUGACUAGGAUGCCACGUCAGCAAAACCACCCAUGUAUACUGCUAUAGGACCUUGUGUGCACGGUUUACGUAAGUUUAGAGGUACACAUUUCUGAUUUUAUGGAUAAAAGACCUUAAAAAAUCUCGCUGUUAAGCUGAGGUACCAUCGGUGAACUUAUUCCUUAUCUCUUGUACAGUUUCUACGAAGCAAGCAUGACAACUGACAAAGAUGCAAAAUUGAACUGACCUUCGCUUGUUUGGGCAUACAGGCCGUGUUUAGAUUCAAAUUUUUUUCUUCAAACUUUCAACUUUUCCGUCACAUUAAAUAUUUGGAUACAUGCAUGGAGCAUUAAAUAUGGACGAAAAAAAACCAAUUACACAAUUUGCAUGUAAAUCGCGAAACAAAUCUUUUGAGCCUAAUUACGCUAUGAUUUGACAAUGUGAUGCUACAAUAAACAUUUACUAAUGACAGAUUAAUUGGGCUUAAUAGAUUCGUCUCGCAGUUUACAGGCGGAAUCUAUAAUUAGUUUUAUUAUUAGUUUACGUUUAAUACUUCAAAUGUGUGUCCGUACACUUAAAAAAAAAUUGUCACACGAACUAAACACAACCAAAGAAUCCAAAAGUAUUUCACUAGUUCAUGCGCCAAGAGGCAAGAGGACUAGUGUGUUGUACCAUGAAAACAAUAUCAUAACUUUCCAUCCCAAGAAUUUUUUUUAGCAGAACUAGAAUCUCACUUCAGAUCAAACAACAGCAGCAGCAGCAGAGGCAGCAAGAUAGUAGAAAUGAAAAGGGAAAUGCAGGCUAUUUUGUUACUCCUUCGAGCAAAGCUGGUCAAACAACAAUGAUAAAUGCCGACCCUAAACUACAUAUAUAGCCACUCUCACUUGUUAGCAACCUCUCCUAGAUUCUACCCCUACCACAGUCCACAGUGCAUUCCAACCCCUAAAGCAUGUUAUAACAAGAGAAAACUUAACAUAUCAAGCAGAAAACUUGAGAUGUUUUUAGCAUAGAUGAACCAGCUGUUAUAUAUAGUUACCACUUACCAACAAAAAAAGAACAUGUUAAAAAUCCCAGGAAACUUUUCAUGAUUCUAGCUGCCCAAUGCCCACUAUGCCUUUUCGUCUUAGGUUCAUAUUUUUGUUAGCAACGCUUCUUUAAGUGUUAUAGGAUGAACAAUCUAUUAAACGGUACGUCAAAGGCAAUAGUAUUUCUAGGAAAAAAUCGCUUGUACAAUAACAUUUCAUGGAACUCGUACUUGUCGAUGAUAUUUUUUAAAUUGGACACUUAUAAAUGGUAUUUCUUGAAUUUUCUCUCCACAAAAGCAACUUCGCUGAGAUUGAUCAUGAUGCCUAGGUGCUGCCAAACCAAUUGAAUGGUAGGCAGGAAGACCAAAAGGAUAUGCUUUAUUGGACAAAGAUGGUGGAAAUGAAACUAACAGACAGACACUUUAUUUCUCAAUGACCGUGCACCUCUUUUUAUUUUUUCUUAUGCAAACUAUGCACAUCAAUUAGUAGGAUCAUCAUGGAUUAUUGUGAUCAGAGGCUACAUCAGUACAGUACAUCACCACCUAAUGUUUUGAAUCCUUAUUGGGAGUAGGUUGCAUAGUUGGAAUUGUCUGUACCUAGGGACAGGUAAAUAGCAAGGUCAGUACUAAAAGACACCUAAUUCCUAACCACAACAGAAGGAGAGCACAUCCUCACUUUCACUGACAGGUGGCGCUCAUGACCACACAUCUUUUGACAAAACAUGGUCUAUAUAACUGCCUUUUAUUGCUAAAAUUAUCUCUGUUCACCCUAAAGAUUGGCCUACCUUGUCUUAUAAACCUGGCACUAGCCUACUAGGUGUAAAGCAGAUCAGAUAAAAAUCGAUUACCACUCAUGAGUCAUUUGCCAAGACCUGAAGACCCUACCUAACUAAUUCCACAUUAUACUCUGUAAUCUGCACAUGUACUCUUGUAGUAAUCGACACAUAAUCUAAGCCUGCAUCUGACACAUGUUGCAAAUUUCUGACUAAGAAAUGCUCUGCAUAUGCAUUUUGCUAGCAAGGUGGAUGACCAUGAACAACAUUCAGACAAACACUAGAGCAUUUUCGGGUAAACAGCACUAGCUUAUGUCAGUAGGAAAGUUUCCUGUGUGCAUCAGCUCACAAGGUCACAAGGAUGGUUAGCAGGUCAGGACUUCAUACAAAUAACUCAACUAGCCAACUAGGCAUAAAGGAAAUAUUAGAAGUAAUGAAUGAUCCAUGUGUUCUAUAGAGCCAAUAUCUUACUAUCAGAUGACAGCACUUUAACUAUUGUUAAAACUAUCAUGCAAGACAAACCGCCAGGAGUUGGUACUUCUACUCAGAAGCAAUUGGCCAUCAUACACCAAAAAAUUAACGAUAAAGAAAUAAUGUAAUCCAAAAGGUUGACUUUGACUCAUCAUAUACUAAGUCAUCCAUGCAAUCACAAUCAUUUAUAUGACAAUCCAAACAUAUCCAAAGUCAUCCAUGAAAAAUCGCGUACAUGGUAAUGAAACAUUCAAGCUUCCUAGCAGUAGUUAAUCCAAGCUUAGAAUGUUUCUACAAAUCUACAGAGUAACUUUAAUCUGCCCGCCAGUUCUAUUUGCUUGUUUACUUUAAAGAAAGCGUUUUCCAAUCAUGUAACCAGCAUCAUAAACCACAAAGAAUGCUAGAAAGAUUGCAUAAUACACUAUGGAUCCACUGAGUAGCUAAUAAGUGAAUUCGAAGGUAAGCUGCUUAAAGGUAUUAAGUACAUAAGGGCGACAGUAAUUCCUAUGCUGAUUAACCAGUAAAUCAAGGGUAAGCAUGUAGAUCACAUUCAGUAACAGUGUAGUACCAACCUUGAAAUAUAGCACGUAUAGUACCAAAUAGAAGCAUCACUUGCACAUCAUAAUAUCAUGCUCCUGCACAUUGGCAUAUACAUAUACGCAACAAGUCUGCUACUAUAUGCAUAUAGUAAACACUUUGACAGAAAAGACAACCAUAAACAGGUCCUGAUUAUGGCUGCCAAUAUAAACUGAAGAGAAAAAAAGAAAGCAAGAGAGAAACAAGCAAACAGCAAGCACUAAACCUUACAAGAUAUCCAUUGAUGAACUUUAAGCCUCAGAAAGUUCUCUAAGCCUACCCAUUUGUUUGGAAAAUAUACAGCACACUAGUACCUUCUGGGCUUGGGAGGCUGUGAGGGCUCUUCCUUGCUAAAGAUGCCGCAGAACAAGCAGCGGGAAACUUUGGGUGAAGGUGGAUCCAUAGCAGGAGGAACAUGCCGAGUUCGAAAGGCCUGGUUGCCAGACCUGCUGCGCUCCACGCUAUCGCUGCACCUUCGCUGCACCUUUAUACUGGAUCCAACGCUACGAGAGUGCCUUAGCUCUUUGGAUUCUAAGCUACCAGCCUCUGCAUCACCAGUUGCCCUUUGAUCACUCUGGUUCUGGUCUUCAGACAUAAGCCUCCCAUCCCAGACCAAACCUGAUGAACCAGACCUCCUAAAUGUUUGGGAAGAUCUCUGGAGCCCUCCAAUCUCCAUCUCCCCUUUCUAUGGCUUCCUAUCACUGUGUGUGUGUGUGGGGGGGGGGGGGGGUGAGCACCUAGUAAGUCCUAUGGAGCAAUAAUACGGACUGCAGUAGGAGAGGAAAUGGUGCAUUCCUCAAACCUAAGAAUAUGCAAGCAUAUAAAAGGAAGGGUAACCAUAACAAAUUUCAGGAUGAGUCAGAUGAUGGUGACAAGGGGUUAAGGAGAUUGUAAGGUCUGUCUGCAUAAUGCAUUGAUGUGAAUCCAUGAAUUAUAAAAAUAGGUCCUUUGUUGCUCUGUUUGUUUACACAAGCGGUGCUAGUUGAAACACCGCCAUUUUGGUUGUAACAUUUUAAGGACUAAGGGACAUUAACCAACAGUAAAUAUUAAAUGCAGAAAAGCAACAGUGCAGCAAGUAUCAUGAGACACAAUUUUCUUUGUUUGUACUAAAAAUCACAAGGCACAGUUUUGUUUUUAAGUGCCUAUGGUCCCACCAAAGAUGCCAAGCUGUUGUCAGUGUGAAACUUCGUUAAAAUAGAUAACAGAAAAAUGUCACAAGAGUUUACCCUCCAUAGUUCCCAGCAUAUAAUUCAAAGCUGAUUUUGAAUUUUAAACAUGAUCAUUACCCACUAAAACUCACGGUGUACAAAAUAAUCCACUAUAUUUUUCUUGGAAAUCAUGUUCUGUUUGAGAAUGUCCCCACUCCACCAAAUUGAAGCAAAAUAUGCAAGUAAAAAAAGAAACAUACUUGUUCAAAUAAAAACUCACAACAGUUUUACAAAACUCAAAGGUAAAACCGUGCAUCUACAGAGUUUCAACAUUAAAACAAAGAAAGGUUAACUUCGAUAUAGCAUCAACUAGCUUUUGCUAUGCUUUCUAGAAGAUAAUGGGGUAUGUUCUGUUAUUCUAUAAUAACAGGCUUCUCCUGGUUAUUGAAAAACAUUACAUUUGUAUGACAUCUAGCUAUUGCUUGAGAUUCAAUCAUUUCUAUUCACAUGGCACAAACUGAAUAUGUACGGCACUAAGGCAGAAUGAAGGUUAGGUUACGUUAGGUAGAAGAAACUAGUAGAUGAUUCAAAAACCCCUGCGCUACUGUCAGAUGGCCAAGAAAGAAGUUACAUUCUUACAGCAAUGCUCCAUUAAACCAAGAUUUUAAGUGAUGCAAAACUGAACAUAUGGUCAAGCUGCAACAUAUUCUGCUAACAUUCUUCACAACAUAAUAGUUGUUCAUCUAACUGGUCAAAUACUAAUACAAUAUAAGCCCCUGACUUUUGAACCAACACAGGAAGAUCAUUUGCUAAAAAUAAUUAUAAAACAGAAGGCAUCAGUCUUGUCAUUAGUCCAGUUGCAAAAAUUUCAGCAUAACUUGCAGUGAGGAGGUUAUUAUCUAGAAUUAUUUUUGACCGUCACAAAAAAUAUGAAAUAUGUGAAUGUUUAAAUGCACGCAAAGUCAAUGUAGCAUCACCUUACUGUUAUAAAAAGUACAAGUUGAGAAAAUUAUCAUAAAUAAUAGCAGAACAGCAGGAGGCACUUAGGCAGGUAUUGUUAAUCCUAGCUUUUAAAGCAGCAGAGGGCAUAACCUAAGCAGCCCCAUGCAAAUAAGGCCGAUGCUUGUUCCUAAAAGUUCAUAGAUAGUACUAUCAUUUUACCACUAAAUUAAAGUCAAGAUCUUAGCAACAUGAAGUAACUAGUGGAUUAACAUCAUUUACCACUUACAAAGCAAAAUUCCUUAAUAUGGAUCCCUUCUUCAUCCGCACAUUCACUGGCAGGUUAACUCAUAAGAAUUUGUUCAAAGAAAGUUGUCACUAGACCUUCUGUGACCUUUUGACUGAAUUGCUUUCAUCCUCAAAAAAAAAAAAAAAACUGUUGGCAUCAUCCUAACCAAGUAAAGCAGAAAUCUCACUGAGCUGCACUUUUACAUAAACACUUGCUAGGAUAUGGUCACUUGCCAACAGAACUCCUACUCUUAGUCAUGAGAAGCUCGGUCAGAGAUUUGGGCCCCUCAAAAUCAUCUGAGAAGGAUCUCACAUUAGGCGUGCAAGCAGUGGAGUGGCUAAAACUUGAGUUGGAUUUACAUUUCUCUUCUUUUAUCUGAGCAAGGGUCUUCGGCCCAGUAAAAUCUGCAGUAGGAUGUUCAGAAGAUUUAGCAGAAAGAACAUGCUGUUGCUUUCCUCUAUUUUUCUUCCUCCGUCCCCUGAAAGUAGCAUGGUUAGCAGGUUGAGGACACUCUCCCAUCAAAUAAUCUUUCCUUUGACGAGUUGGCAUUGAUUCAAUCUGUUGAGUACUAUUCUUGGGUUCAAGGCAACGGCUUCUCUUAAUGCAAUCCUUCUUUCCCUUUGCACCUUUUCUAUUCUCAGGUCUUCUUUUUGAGAUGUGUCUAAUCUGGGUGUGCUGAUGAACAAAGUUAGUAUCUGCCACUGAGCUGGUGAAGUUUCUGGGAUUGAAGAACCUUCUGUCAUAUUCAUCAGAAGUGACCUCAGUAUUUUGUGGUAGUAAAUGCCCCAAAGUGAUCUCACUUUCAUGCUCAUGAGCUCCGUUAGGCUGGCAAAGAUAAAGGUAACCUUGCCGAUCAUCAAGACCACAAAAUUCUGGUUCAUAGUUAUAGUACUCUGGAUCAUGGUAAUACAUAUCAUAAAGAACUGGAUCUCUAAUACCAUAUUCUGCAUGAAGCACCUUAUUAUCACUCUCUGUAGUCAAUUGAUGUUCAAGAUCACUCUUGUUAGAGAGGCAAUCAUCCACAAGCACAUCAAAUCCAGGAGAGGAAUCACGCUCAUCUUGUUCUGUGUGGUCCAUAGUUGAAUCUCCUGAAUUAAGAUCUGAGACUGCGGAACAUUUCAUGUAUUCAUCUAUAUCAGUUGAUGUUUCAAGUGCACCGGAAACAGCUUCAGCUUCACCAAAUUCAGGAUUGAUUGACACAGGAACUUCUUUUAUAUGGCAAGAGGUAUCUUGACAGGGAUUUGUGAUAGUGUCUUUCGAUUCUUCAACCAUCUCAUCUCCAACAUAACUUUUACUUACAGCAGGAUUGGAAGUGGUAGCUUUACAAGAAGUUCCCACAGCAUCAUUAGAAGUUAGAGGCUCAUGGAGGUAGGGGCAAUUGUCACCUUUUGAACAGUGCGAGUUAUAGUAGAAAUAACAAGGGUUAGCUGCCUUGACAGAAGUAGAACACAAUGAGAGUGGGUCUGCUAAAGAUUUGGUUUUGUUUAAGUUUUCCAGUGGCUGCACCGAAAGGAGCUAAUCAGAUAACACGCAGCAACAGAUGAGCAAUGAUAACAAAAAUAGCAACGGUGUCAUUCAAAAUCACAUAGCUGGAAGAUCUAAUAAGAAGAUAGGGUUCCAAUAAUCAGUCAAAUCAUUUCAAUGCAUAACAUUAGAGCAUAAAACUGUGGACAAGAAAAUUCAAUCAAUACUUCUGAGUUACUUAACAAAGAAACGGACCAUGACCAACCACUCAUGGUUGUAGUACUGAAAUACCAAAACUUGAUCUCUUAUUUGUCCAUUUGGCUCACUAACAUAAACAGAGACAAAAAAAAAGAAAAAGAAAGUUGGGUCAAUUGGCCCUUUGUUCCUGAAUUUUCCUCAUUAGAUGAGAGCAGUGGCCUCCAAACCGUCGGGGGCACAACACAAAAUAAAACUACACUGCGACUCAUGUGAAACAAAAAAUUUCAUAACAUCAUCGCUAUGGCUAAACUGGCAGACAGGCCCUCAUGCAAGAUGGACUCAAGGGUUGGAGCUGUACAUGGUGGCAUCAGGAAAUGUACAAUUGUUAGUAUCAAGCAAUUGCUCACAGGCAGACAUGUUAUCCCAGAACCAAGUCAUCUUAUCCCAACAUUUUCCUCAAGUUUCGUGGUUCUUCCCCCAUCCAAGUUAACACGAUAAAUGUACAACAAUGGCAUCAAUCACCACUAAUAACUAGCAAAGCAAAGUAUGAAUCCUUGGCAUCCGAUACGAAGCGAAGGGUAUCGAACCGAGUGACCGCGGAUUACUCACGGGGUGACGAAAUGUGCAGCUCGGGUUGACGCAGUUGCCCUUGAACCAGUACCAGCAAUUCCGGCGGUUGAACCGGGCGCCAUCGGCAUGGCGGUACUCGCACUUGGACCCCUGCAACCAAAAACCCACGCGCUCAAUACGCGGCGCGCUCCGGACGGAUGAUCAACCAGCGGCGGCAUCCACCGCCAUGCCGGAAACGCGGAAUCCGUGAGAAGAAAAAAAGUGAGCUAGGGUUUUGGGGAAGUUGGGUGGACUAGUACCUUGGUGCAGGUGAAGGGGGAGGCGAGGAAGUAGACGCAGUCGGUGUUGCACCUCCUCCAGCGCGGGUCCUCAUCGCCCUCCGCCGCGGCCGCCAUUGCUCCACUUCCUCUCUCGGCUCUCCUCUCCUCUCCGCGGGAGGAGGGAUGAGGAGGAGGCGGCGGCGGAGGAAAAGCGGAGCGCGACGGCCGGGGAGGAAUGGAGUGGUGGGUCCCUCUCGGUUUUUGAACUUGUCGAUGCGUGGAGUGGAGCCGUGGAGCAGUUGAACCGGCAGUCUCUCUGUGCUUAGAAUGCCGGUGGGUCACGCUCCUAAAUUUUUCACCUUUUCUCACAGAAAACUUAUUUUAGGCCCUAUUUAGUCCCCACACAAAAAUUUUAUACCCUAUCACAUCGAAUGUUUGAACACCUACAUUGAGUAUUAAAUAUAGGCUAAAAAAUAACUAAUUAUACAUAUUGCGACUAAUUUGCGAGAUGAAUCUUUUAAGCCUAAUUUCUCCAUCAUUUGACAAUGUGGUGCUAGAGUAAACAGUUGCUAAUGACGGAUUAAUUAGGCUUAAUAAAUCCAUAUCACGGUUUUACUAACGGAUUCUGUAAUUAAUCUUUUUAUUAGUGCCCGAACACCCCAUGCGACACUCUAUAUAAUACCCGAUAUGACACGCCAAAACUUUACAUCCCUGGAUCUAAACACCCCCUUACAAAUAAAUCAAUAAAAAGUAAUUCUAUAAGUGGAUACUAUUCACAGUUUUCACGGCGUUAGCGUCAUUAACGCCGUCUGUUCCCUCACGCCUCCCCUCCCCCCCAAUUGAAGCUAAAUUACUGAUGUGAAUGGAGAUGCGCUAAUGUCAUUUGCACCGAUAACCUAUUUGUAGUUCUUUUGAAACAUAACCUAUUAUUUUAUUACAAAUAGAUCUUCAGCAUCAAUUUCAUUGGCAUUGAGUUAUUUACAAAUAGAUAUUUUUUGAAUAUUUUUUACAAAUAGGUCUUCGGCGUCAUAACAUUAUCACCAUCUUCUUCCAAUUAGUGACUUGACUUCCACGGUAGACAAGAAGGAUGACGCCAACAUCAUUGAUACUGUCAUGUUAGCUCAUGGCGCUAAGGAAUUUGACGCCACGAAAAGGAUCCAUUUCUAAAAGGGCAAUAUAAGUUUUUCAAAAGAAACCUCUGGCCUAUGUGGGUCAAUUUGUCGUGUCCUCCCUCCCUCCCUCCCUCCCAGAAAACUUAUUUUGGAAAUUGUUAUCUUCUUCAGCUAUGCUGGCCGCAGCAAAAAAAAAAAAAUUGAUCCAAUCAUCAAGUAAUACUGUGUCUUCCCUGGAUUGAGAUCGAAUGAGCUGAUGGCAGACGCUACGUCUUGAGUUCCCAGAAUAACAAUGACAUGCAAGCAAUGCUGUUUACACAAUGUCAUUGGGCAGGAGAAAAUCAAUCCAAUUUACGCUUAUUAACCGCGAGGAAAAAAAAUCAUCCCUCAAUAUGCUGAAACGAGAGGUGAUACAGCUAUGGAUUCGCAAUGACAAAAUUUCUCCAACCCCAAAUAUUUCAGUAUCCAUCUAAAUCUCAUUUUCCAUCUAACAAAAUGGAGGUACAUGCAGUUAGCGAUGACAACUCUUCCUGCGUCGCAGAUCCGAAACCUUGCCACCUCACUCUUCCGAGGCGAUCAACCAGGUAUAUGUACCUGCAGUAGAAGAGUUUGAACAAAGGGAGAGAACAAAACAUAUAAACGAAGGGAAGGAGGAAACAUCGCCCAGUAUGUGGUAACCAGGACCUUUACAUCUAAAGUUUGCCAAACGAACAACGGGAAGGAAGAAACAUUACCCAGUAAGAAGGUUAAGGAUAUGAAGCUUCUUCCUGAAAUAAUAGUGGUCACCAAAGGCAUAUACAGCAUGUCUCUGUGGAUUGUUGGAUUUUGUCAUCACCUUGAGGAAUACUUGUCUCACAGGACUUGAUGAUAACAGCCAUGAAUCAAUAAAUGAGACCUGAACCAUAGUUUUUUUUUCCCUUUCAGUUGCAGCCAUGUGUAAUGUACAUAAAUUUCCUCAGCAAUAUCAAAAGUUCUAAAUUUAAAAUUGCCAAGUAUUAGCAUGGUCGGCUUGUCGUGGUAUUCCAUCACAAAUUACAAUAUUAGUACAGGGUUCCUUUUGUGUUGACAGUUAACACGAAUUAAUUGUAAAGUGUAAACAUGGGCAUAGAUUGAAUAUUUGAAUUGCAUAAAAAAUGAACUCGUAAUACUCCCUCCGCCUCAAACUACUGGUUAGUUUGUCCUAAGUCAAACAUUUAUAUCUUUGGCCAUCAAUUUCUAGAAAUUCAUAUAGUAUAAUAUCAUAGGAUUUCUAUUUUUAGAUUCAUCAUGAGAAAUACUUUCUAAUAUAUAAUUCACAUGCUAAACUAUACGAAUUUCUAGAAAUUUGAUGGUCAAAGAUAGAAAUGUUUGACUUAGGAUAAAGCUAGAAUGACAAGUAAUCUGAAACAGAGGGAGUAACAAAAACUACACAUUAUGGCACUAUAGUAUAUUUGCAACCCGAGAUCAUCCAAGUGAAAUGGAGAGGAGAGCUAAACAUAGAAGCAGAUACAAUCUGUUCUGUUUAUUUCUCUAAUCUAUAACUAUCAGGUUUAUGUACUUAUGUAAUAUUGUAGGACAUGUCAAACAUCAUUUAACUAAUUAUGUUCCUCCUUUUCUCAGUGGUGAUUCGCAUGGACUUAUGGCAUAAGGCAGUUCACAGCUGAUAACCCAAAUUAUGUUCAAAUACCUCAUACACUUGAAUAUUCCCAGCAGAACUAAAUGCAUCAAGAAAAGGUAGGCUCCACGUUUCUGCCAUUUUCUGUUGAACAGGAGGAAUCUAGUUAGCCAUAGAACAACUGAGUGUAUAAAAAAUCAAACAAAAGAUCAACAAGAAUGGAAUUGGCAUGUAUGAAAAUAGCAUAAAACCCAGUUGGUUGAACAUGCGUAGUUGUAGUUAUCCAUUGGAAUGCUUGAUGCAUUUGUCCUUUUAGAACCAGAUAGUAAUAGUUAAUUUAAUUCCAUAAACUAUUUCGCUGGAGUAAUUAAUCCCCUGAUUAUUUUUCAUCCACUUUGCUCAACGAACUAUUAUACCAGGUCACUACUUUGCUAAUGAAUUUUGUCUUCUUUUCUAAUUAUCAGGUUUUCACUUUAAUCAAAAUGUUGUGGGAUGACGGACGGCGUCACAGCGCAUGUUACAAAAAUAAUUUCAGAGUUUUUCAUGUCUGUUUUAGAGGAGUCCUUUUUUUUCCUUUUUUUUUUGGGGGGGGGGGAUGAACCUUAUGCAGAAGAGAGAAAAAAACUGAGCAUAGACAACAAGAGAAACGGAAACAUUAUAGCUUGAUCUAGUUUGCCAAUUUAAGUGGGUAAGAGAACCAGAAAUGACAUCAUUUUUGUUAUAGCAAGGCUUGGCUCAAGUUAGCGAAGCUAUUGUGAAAGAGAUAAUCCAAGAAAUGCCAUUGACAAGCGUCCAAGUCCCAGAAAUGCCAUCGACAAGUGUGAGUUCCAAGAAAUGCCAUCGUACAAACGACUUUGUCCCAAAAAUGCCAUCGCCGUUAGGGUUCCGUCCAUUUUACACCGUUAAAUACACUGUUCAUCCUAUAGAACUUAACGGCGCAAAAUGGAUGGAACCCUAACGGCGAUAGCAUUUUUGGGACAAAGUCGUUUGUACGAUGGCAUUUCUUGGAACUCACACUUGUCGAUGGCAUUUCUGGGAUUUGGACGCUUAUCAAUGGCAUUUCUUGGAUUAUCUCAUUGUGAGAUGUUAACUACAGGUUGAUCUUAAAUUUGCUAAGAGAAAAUAUGCAUUUAACAAACCCAACCAAGUGUUGCUCUUUUCUUUUUAAAAUCUAGAGGCUGCUCUAACAGCAGCUGUGCAAUAUUCAAAAUUUUUUUUUUGAGGAACACUAUUAAAAUUACGAAAUACAACCAUCUAAACCAGGAGCUUUAAAUUUCAGUAGGUAAAAUGUUCAUGAGAAAUGACAAACAUUAAGAGGCAAAACAAAGAUUAUUUCUGUACAAACCCAUUGGUACACAUUCAAGACAUACACUAGUCCAAGUGCUUACAAAAAUGGAAAGACAAUUAAACAAGCUAUUCAUUAACUCCUGACUUUAGUAAAGAUAUAAGUACAUCUCGUUGAAUCAUAAUGUGGGUGUCUAGCAAGUACUGUAUGACUGAAAAGCACAACCUCGUAAGCCAUGAAGCGUGUAUCAAAAAGUGCAAGCAAGCCAUAUACGACAACGAUGGGAACAGAUAUCUGAUAUACAGAUGGGAAAUCCGUAAAUGAAGAUAUAAUUCACCAUACCUGGGAGCUUGCGCGAAAGGAAAGGCACACCAAUGAAGCAUCAGGAACCACCAUAUCACCAGCCUUACAAUCAUCAUUUUGUGUGUCCACUGUAUUGCCAGUCUGGGGAUCAUCGUUUCGCGGAGGUGCGACAAGCGGCAAAUUCACUGUCCUGCCAUCAGGGGACUUCACAGAAAGAUCAGGGAACUUCACGGCUGCGAUUUCCGGAAUGAUGAUCUUAUUCGCUGUCGCAAGCUGCACAAUCCACGCCACAACGAAGAGUUGAUUAAACCUCAUCAGCAGCUAAAGAUGACGGACAUCUCUACCCAGCAUUGCAACAUAAACACAGUGAAACAGAAUAAUCUUUACGACAACAUAUGCACACCUUGCCGCCGUUCUUGCGUAUCUCUGCGAUGUCGGCGAAGUACCCCCUGCUCAUUUCAUCCAUACUGCACUAGAACAACAGUUAAGAGAGAUCUUAAACAUCACAAUUCACACAUUUGCUCCAAAAAUUCCAUGCAGUACUAGCCCCGAUUGCCAAAGGUAGUGGAAGUAGCCUUACAGCCUGGCCUUAUCCUUCUCCUUCUUCUCGAUGGUCUCCUUACUCGCCUUCUACCCACCACCAAAAAAAAAAAACACAACCACCCCAACCCAUCAGCCGCCGCUGCAGAGAGAAGCAAGUAGAGGAUGAGACACCAGAGAGGCCAUACGAACCAUGUUGAGGCCGAGGAAGCCGCGCGCGAAGACCGCGCGCGCGGCGAGCGAAGCCUCGCCAGAGCUAGCGCGGCGCAGCAUCCCCGCCGCCCACCGUGCCCUCAUCAUCGCCGCCGCCGCCGCCGAUCUAACCGGUGAAGAGGAGGACGGAGUAGUAGUAGUAGUUUACAUGGGCCGCCGGCUAAUCUCGUUAUGGGCCGAACAAACAAAAAAAAAAUUCAACUUUACGCUAUCGCAGUUAGAAGACGUAAAAUAACUUUACGUAUUCGCUUCUGUUAUUGUGCCCGUGGUGAUAGAAACCGCCGAUCCGGAUUCCAAAACCGGCGGCGCAAAUCACAAGCGAAGCAAAGCAAAACACGCCUUCGCCUUCGAUUCGAUUCUUCUCCACUCCGGCCAUGGCGUCCGCCGCGUCCUCCUCCUCGUCGUCGACUCAAUUCGAGUAAGCCCCCCUCCCCAAUCUCAUCCUGCUCAAAGAUCUCUCGCAUCUCACGCGUCGGUGCGCUUGAUGCAGCGAUGCGGCGGCGAGGCGUCAGCAGCAGCUGCAGCAGCAGCGGAAGCCGCCGUUGCUGAUGCUGCUCCCGCUCAUCUACGCCCCGGUGCUCCCCCUCAGUACGGAAUCGCGAACCCCUGUGAAAUUCGUGGUUUGUUUGCUCGGAUGAUCGUGCUGCUGAUUUAGGGUUUGCGGGGUUUUUUUUUUUUUCGUUGUGAACAGUUAGGAUUGGGUUGCGGCACAACCCGGUGUGGAGGGAUCGCCUCUUCUACGGCGUCCUCGCCGGCGCGUUCGCCCACGGCACCUACCUCAUGUAAGUGUUUGCUACAUUGCGCACCCGAGCUCCUGUAUGCAGCUAUGCACCGUGUAUUUGCUUGUGAUGGUUCAUGUUCAUGUAUGAUUCGUCAUUCAUGUACAAUGCCAGGUUAUUGUGAUUGAUAUCUCCCUGGUUUUAUUAGCUGUCUGAUAUGCACGAGGUAAAGCGAUGUAUUGUUCUGAUUACUUCGAAGGGGAUGUGUAUGUGUUUGUGCCUAGUUGUUAUCGGUGAGGCUUCUCAGAAAGGGUGUAAUUCCGUUAGAAUACGAUAUGGCAGCUGUUGAGUUUUUCAGCACGUGUAGUAUGUAUAUAUGGCUAAUAUAUCUGUUUGUUAAGUAGUAGUAUAUAUGAUAGCUAUGCAAUGACCUGUUCUCUGUUUUCUCUAAUACAAAUGCUUCACGCGGACUGUUGUACCAUAAAUGAUUUCAAUGUCUGCCGCUUGCCAAAAAUCUGUAGUUGUGAUCACUGCAAAGGAACUAUUUUUAGUUCUUCUCCCAUGCUCACAGAAAACCUUGGGGGAAGAUUUUUGGAACUCAGUACACAACAACAGUUUUAUAUUGCUUUGAGUAUAACCAAAAUUGAUGUGAUUGGGUGACUUGGCGAGUCAGCCAUUACUGAUUAAGCACAUGAAGCAUGGAUUCUUUAGUAGAAUUUAAUCUCAGCAAUCUUGACAAUCAACUAUGGUGGUAUAAUCUUCUUUACAGUUUUUUCCCCCGAUUACUGCAAAGGGAAGACUUGAUGUAUUUGCGCCUACUGCCUAGUUUUCACUUAGGAUGUUACUAGUAAGGGUUGUGAUAUUUUGGCAAUGAAUUGACUUGUAUCACAACACUUGAGUGCUUGUACCUUCAUAAUGUGAGUUUGAGCAUGAGGAAAGGUAGAUGCAUCCAAUCGUAGCAGUAUUUUGUUUUCUGCUUCAACCGAGUUGCUGCACAUGGUUUCUGCCAUUAUAUGGUUCCAGACUUUUUGGGGCUUACUAAUGUAAUACUGCUGUGGAAGUGUGGAGUUGAGGUCACUGCAGAGAAAUUUUAGUCUAGUGUAUAUCCACUUUAGAUAUGAAUUUAGUAAUUGAGUAUUGACAGAUUUUAUAUAAAAGAAGGAAGUUUGGGCCUAAAUAACUACUCCCGCCGUUAUUAAAUGUUUGCUGCUGUUGACUUUUGGGCAUGAUGUUUGACCGUUCAUCGUAAAUGUGCAAAAAUAUAAGGCAUGCUUAAAGUACUUUUAGUGAUAAAACAAGUCACAACAAAAUAAGUGAUAGUUUUUUGAAUAAGACAGAUGAUCAAACGUCAUGUCCAAAGAUCAACAUCACUCAUACAUUUGAAAAUGGAGGUAGUAGGCCAUAAUUUUGGGCAUGUUACUGCUUGAUUGUGGUGAUCAUUUGAUCUCUGCACAAAUCUAUUCUUCAUAUCAUGCUAGAGGUUGGGUUAUUGAAGCCAUAAAUAUUCAACAAUAUGUCAUUAUGGUGAGCCUGUCAUGUUUGAUGGUGAGGCAAAGAAUUUUGUUGUUGACUUGUUUGAUGCCCUUCCAAUGUUUUUAAAACUUGUUCUAUCCCUAUCAUUGAAGUAAGCAGAUAUACCUUCUUCGCAAGGAUAAGCAUAGGUUACUCUAACGCCAUAACAGAGGGAUCUAUUGGGAUGUUAAUUAACGUAAUUCACAAUAGAUGUGCUUAUCUUCUUAUCUUUGAUGUACUUUCAGAUCGGAGCUAUAUGACGUAGAGAGCAAGUGAAUCAUAUCUCUCCAAGUAUAAAGUCAAGGGUAUCCAUCGGCAGAUUUUGACUUGAUUGUAAGUCAUCAACUGUUAAUGAGAGCUGUCCGGUUUUUCAGGUUGAUAAAAUGGACCAUGUAUCUAUCAUUUUUGUUAAUCCAUUUAGGCUUUUAUGGUUGCUGUAAUGAUAGAAUAUUGGAGCACACAUAAUAAUUCUGACUCUGGAGCAACAUGUCCGGCAUUUUUUUCCAAUUUGAUGCACUUGUGUUUUCCUGCUUAUAUUGAUUUGUCAUAGCCACCCUAUUUCUAUUCUAUCCAACAAAAAAUAUUUUUCUUUUCCCCUUUUAUUUAUAUGUAGCUAUAUUUCAAAGGAGAGCAGUUUCAACAUGUACGAGUAAUAUGAGAUCGCUCUUAUCAGGCCAUGUUUAGUUGGCCUGUGUGAUGUGCCAUUUUGUCCAGCUGAUCACGUUGUGCUGUGUUGCUCUUAACUCCUUGGUCUUGACGGUACCAAAAAUUAAUCCUAGAUGCAGAUUAUUAAUAUCUGUCUAUACUGAUGAAAGAAACGGGAACUUUGCCAAGCAGCAGCUGUUAUAUAUGCAUGCACUGGAUGGAUAUUUCCUUGAGCUCCCGUUGGACAAGAAAUGGUUUGAGCUCCCGUUGUUUCCUUGCUACCCAUGAGGCCAUGACAUAUCGACAUGCCCUUCCUUGCAAGUUCCUAACAAUUUCUACAAAAAGGAACAAUGAUUAAACAGAAGGAUUCCAAGCCUUCCUGUUCACUCCUGUCUGAAGCUUUUCGAGGUGUUUAGCAAGAGAGAAGAAAGUCACUGAUAUAAAAGCAAUUGAUCAUUUUUAUCACCCUAAUUUUAUCCAAACUAACAAGCGUAUCAUUAUGCUAUAAGCACAUUGUCGUAGGCAAUGAACACAAGAAUGAUUCCAUGUUGGCUAUAGCUGAAGCAUGGUCACAUUAGUUGAGGCAGGCUUUGCAGGCUGCUAAUAAAAUACGAUUUGGCCAAAGCUAAACAAAGCUGCCGCACGCGAUGGCCGGCCGGCCACUUGCCAACCAGUUGAACAUUUUUUUCAUUCUGCAAUCAGGAUUAUAUACUGAACAUGGAGUAGAUUACUCACGGGCAUCACUAUAAACGAGUGAUUAAAUUAAUCAAGGCAAAGUACGGCGAUGGCUAUUACAAACAGAUGGAGGUCAGAUUUGAUGCGAUGCGAUGCUUCACGGGAGGCUUCGUGUGUCUGCCUUUUGAGUAUAGAUCUGAAAUCUUGGGUGUAGGAUUGAGAGCAACGGGUUUUUUGAAGGAAUUUUGUAGAACUUGAACUAAAUUUGUGUAGAACUUCUGUAAAUCUAAAUCUAACGUGUUCGUUUUCAAUCCUUGGUGUUGGGAUUGAGAGCGACCAAGUUUUUGGAGGAAUUUUAUAGAACUUUGAAGUAAAUUUAUGUCAAAAUUCUGCAAAUCGAAGUCUAGUGUGUGCUCGGAAAGAUCAGUAAAGCGUAACGAGGAGAUGGUUUGGAUUGCAGCUUCACGAUGGGGACAAUAAACAGAUAAUAUAAUCAGUGUAGCAGCAUUAUUAUUCCGUUUGUUCGGGAUUAGUUUGUACUAUUAUUGUUGCUGAUGCCUGAAAGGGACAUGUAAUUGAUAAGCCUUACAAAAUGAACCUAACAAUACAUCUCAGAAUGGUGUGGUAGAUAUCACAAGUUCACAACCUAAUAAUAAUCAAAAUGAACCUAACAAUACAUCUCAGAUUGGUGUGAUAGAUAUCAAAACCUAAUAACAAUCAAAAUGAACCUAACAAUACAUCUCAGAUCUAUUUAAGAUCAUCAUCGGAGAGCACCUUUAAUCCGUAAUUAAUCAAAAUCACACCACACUAAAUCCGCAAUUAAUCAAAAUCACAACACAAACUACAAUACUCAUAGUGAAAUUGCUGAGACAUGGAUUGGAGAUCAGAAUUGGAUCCAAUCGAUUGGAAAUGAGCAGUACAACAAACCUAAUGGAUCUGAUGCAUCAUACUUCGCCACAAGCGAGUAGAUCUAUCUCAGAUCCAGAUUACAUUUCAUCUCGAGAUUACAAUUCGGGAGAAAACGCAAGAAAAAAAAAAGCAGAGAUGGAUGGAAGCAAGGGAUCAAUCCUAAAAACCAGAUCCCUUCUAAAUUCUUCUAAAUUUCCUCCGCAACGAGACGAAUCCCACCCCGGAUUUUAUAUACACGCCAUCGCGGCGACGUCGCGAGCUGUGGGCUCCAUCUCCCUCCUCCGGUGGCGGCGGCAGCGGCGCGCCUAGGCGGAGCGGGCGAGGCGGGAGGCGAUGGCGGAGUGGUACAUGGCGUCGUGGAAGCUCUCCGUCUCCACCAUCCUUGCGCGCAGCUCCCGCGCCUUCUCCUCCGUCAACCCGCCCACGAAC
RNAcentral lists this long non-coding RNA (59405 nucleotides) under Oryza sativa (Asian cultivated rice). Its description in RNAcentral is "long non-coding RNA (OSAT_LNC000932)". The stretch from base 26400 to 26474 matches the Rfam family "Small nucleolar RNA snoR60". The record is from RNAcentral. Lineage: Eukaryota; Viridiplantae; Streptophyta; Magnoliopsida; Poales; Poaceae.